This 81275-nucleotide long non-coding RNA is filed under the name Medicago truncatula (barrel medic). RNAcentral's name for it is "long non-coding RNA (MTRU_LNC001574)". Lineage: Eukaryota; Viridiplantae; Streptophyta; Magnoliopsida; Fabales; Fabaceae. The record is from RNAcentral.
GAGAUCCUAUAAAUAAAACUCUUUGCUUCCUCAUUUCAUUUCCAUCAUCUUAUAAUACAAAGUCAUAACUUCAAGGUCCUUAAAACUAGGGAAAAACAUAAGAAGAAAAUAAUAAUUAUUGAGUGCAUGAACAAAAACUAAAUGACAACAAAUGGAAUAUUCUAGCAUAAGGUAUAUUGUACAAUUCUCUUGUUAGAGAAAGAACUCAUUUAUCUCAUUAGAAUGUUUUAGAUCGGUACACAAUAGCUUUUACGACACCUAACAUUAGCUCUUCGAAGUUUUGGGCAAUCUUUAUUUGUUUUACAAUCACUAAGAAUAAGGCUAAAGUGCACUUUUUGCCCCCUAUGUUUCAUAAUAUUGCGAUUUUGGCCCCUUAUUUAAAAAAAAUAGCAAUUUUUGCCCCUUUCAUCCCAUAAUUGCUCAAAAAGGUGCCACGUGUUCUAGAAAAGGGGUCAUAAUCGCAACUUUUUGUAAAGAUAAGGGGUCAAAAAACAUAUUUCCCUUAUGUUAUGGGUCAAAAGAGCAUAUUUCCCUAAACAUAGGGGGUCACUUUUGUCAUUUUUUUAAUAGGGGACCAAAAUCGCAACAUUUUGAAAUUUAGGGGGCGAAAAGUGGUGUUUAGCCUAAGAAUAAUCAUCUGUCUAAAAAAAAAAUAUAGAAAGAAAAAAAUUAUGACAUAAUCUAACUUCGGAGUUUCAACCAUAUUUUUUCCUAUUUGCAUCCAAAGAAUAGUAAAUAACUUGAUUUCUUUAUAGUGUAUAGUAAAGUUCAUGGUCUUAUAGAAAUAAUUAAAUAGUUUAAGCAAAAUAAAAUUUUAAAAGCUCUUUAGAAUUUUAUAAUUAUUACUAAAUGUCUCUUAAAUAUGUCUUCAUGAGCUUAACUUAGUUGAUAUGGACAAUGCAUAAUAUAUGCCAGGUCCAGGGUUUGAACCUCAGCCACCACCGAAAAAAAUGUGUCUUAAAUAUAUCAAUGUGUUAUUUUUGUUCAUUUAGCACACAUAGAAGGACUUCAUGUGAUAAAAAUAAAAAUCAAUAUAAUUGAGUGCAAUUUUACAAACUUUAUAUUACUUUUUCCCCUAAAUAAUUGUAUUAUUUUUUUAUCCUCUAGUGAUGGUAAAGGGGAAAACAAUUAUACCAUCGUAAAGUUAUGUACGAAUAUAAAGCACAAUUAAAUAUUUAUAAACAAGUAGAACAUAUGUUAUGUUAAUUACUAAUGAAGUUAACUACGUCUAACAUAAUACGACCAUGCAUAGAAUAAGAAAGCAACCUAUUGAAGGAAUAUUGCCUCAACGCAUGAACAAAAAGAUGUUAUAAAAUGUUUUUCAUAUACUCUUAUUAAUUGGGAAAUGAACUAUGAAUAAGUUUUUUAGCAAUCACAAACAUACUCCACCUUGUUAUAUGCAAAUUGAUAACCAGUAAAUAAAUUGAUUAUCACGUUGCACUUAACUGUUAUAUUGGACAAGUAAUUGAGUGAUUGCAUUGCCUUUAACAUCUAAUCUGUGUUUAUUUAGGAUUUUAUAGUUUUAAGUGUUUUUAGUACUUUGGAACUAGUAAUGCUUGUUUAUCAUGUUUAAUGAUGUAGGUUAAGGAACGGCUCUGAAGUGUGGAUUGAAGAUGUAUCGCUGAAGAUGUGUAAAGCUGCAGCAUGUAACACCUUAAACCCUUAAAGCAAUAAAUUACACAAAUAGUAUAAAACAUACAAAGGAUUUAGAUGCUACUUCUUCUAUAAGUUUUGAAACAUGCAUAAUUAAUUUUUCAGAACAUCACAACGGAAUAAUAAUAUCAUCAUAACUCAUCACAUCACCAAAGUAGCAAUGACGCAUAAUCAUAUAAUACAUCUCCAGAAUAAAUCUAACAUCUCAACAUACUGAGUGAAUAAAAUCUCGACAAGUCAUAGAAUGUAAAUAACAGACAGACACCCAAAUUAGAGCUGACACACUAAGACUCUGAAAGUAAAAGACGAGGUAGCUAUAAAGCUAGCCUCCAGCAACUCAACAAGUAAAACAAAACUACUCUUGCACACCGUCUACGCAUCCAUACGAAUAAGGUAGGUAGUCAACCAAACGACCAUUGGGGGUUAGUUCACAUUUCACAAUUAAAGUAUAAUCAAAUGAAAAUGAACGCCAUAAUUAAAUUCAAAUGAUUAAACAACGUAACACUUAAGCAGCUCAACAUCAUCAAUCAUAUAAGUAUAACAAUACACAAGUACAUUUUCAACAUCAUCAUAUAUUCACCAAAUUUCACCAAGCAUGUAAUUCACCAAGUUCACCAAUGCACAUAAAUCACCAAGCACAUAAACAAAUAAGACACAUUUAAUCAAUUAUCAAAUGUAUGUAAUGCGCCUAAAAACGACUCUAUAUGCAUGUGCUACUAGUCGUCACCUCAAGAUACAAAUGUAUCAUAGUCGUUAUCAUUUGAAUACAAAGUAUUAUGGUCGUCUUCGUUGGAUAUAACAUCCCAGUCGUCUUUAUUGGGUAUAAAUAUCCUACUUAUAAAUGCAUGACAUACGACUCGACAAUGUAUACGUUCAACACCAAAUUAUCAUCAUUUUUCAUACAUGCAUUCAUCAGCAAUUAUGUCUUCAUUUUGCAUGUUCUGAUUCAUCAACAUAAAUCAUCAUCAUCAUCAUCAUAAUCAUUAUCAACAACAAUCAACUGAAGAACCAACAAAGUUCCAAAAUCACAUUUUGCACAAAAGACGAAAAAUUAUCCACAUCAUGACAUUCAUCAAAUUAAACACCCACUCAUUGUGGAUUCAUUCUUAUUAUAUCAUAUCAUCAUGAAUAUAAAGCCAAUUGCAAGUUAUCCGAUCAUAAAACCUCAUUUCAACAAAGUUCAUCUAUUUUCAUAAAAUUGACCAUUUUCAAUUUUACCAACCAAAUUAGGGUUCAAAGUUCUUUCAUGCAUACUAUUAAGACUUCCCUACAUAUAAUCUAACAUCUUAGUUAAUCAAUCAUAACAAGUUCACUUCACAGAGUUCAACUAGUUCUCAAAAAUUGCAAAGUUCAUCUCUUUUUUCUUCAUGUUUCAAACUCAAUUCAUUUCCAAGUAAAAUUAAGUUAAAACACUUCUAAACAACACUAAUUCAUGAUUAAAAACUCAUUUAUUCACUAUAAAUAUUUCCAUAAACUCAAUGUUAAUUUUGAAUAUGUUUCAUGGUUUAGUGAAAAAGUUAUAAUAAAGUUUCAUGAAAAAGUGACACAUGACAUACGUGUAUUAAUUUGACCAUAAAUCAAGUUGUAGAAAUCAUUUUGAAGUAAGACCAAAUCCAUUAGAAAUAUAACAUCCAUAUAUAAAACUUUCAUGUUUACAACUAAGGCUGAAUCUAUUUACAUCAUAUUCAAUCGAUUCAAAACAAGUCAGAGAGAAACCAUGAUACGAUUCAAAAUUGUCUGAGUCGAUUUAAAGCGGCCCAGAUGCAGAAUGAUGUGAUUCAAAAUUUCUUGAAUCAAUUAAAUGACCUAGAAAACACAAUUUUAGCUUCUGGUUCAUCCCCAAAAUUCUUAUUUUGAUCCCCAACAUACCCAAAACGAUAAAAAAUCAUUUUCGAAGGUUCAAAUACACUAUUUAGACUCUUUUUACGACAAUACAAAACAAUUUAUACUUCAAUUCACUUAAUUCAUCAAGGUUCCAACAACAACAACUUACACACAACAACACAUAUAUCACACUUAAUUCCUGAAUCAUCAUCACCAACAUAUACCCGUCAACAAUCAUAGCAUAUAAUUCAUUCAUGAACUUGUCAAUUUUCAACAACAACAUCUUCAUUUCAUCAAUUUAAGUUAAAACUUCAAAGCUAUCAUUUCAACAUAGUUAUACCAUGAAAUUUAAGUACCCACGACAAGAAUUAAAAAUAUUUCAUAUACUCAAAUUUAUCGCAUAAUCGUGAGCACGAAAUUCAACAUUUAAAAUCAUAAAAAGUCAUAAUUCACCAUAACCACCUAUUCUCAUAAUUGAAAAGAUGAAGAUUAUAACUUAAUUAUAAAAAGGAGCUAUCCUCCUUACCUCUAGGUCUUGAACUCACUAGCUUAGGCUUCAAUUUAGCUCCUAGCUCUUCAAACCUCAAACUCUCCCUCUAGCUUCCUGUUCUUUCCUCUUGUGAUCUACUUUCUCUCUCUACCUCUUAUGUUUUUAUGAAAUAAAAUAAUGAAUGGCCUAACCUAAUUUUCUCAUCUUUCUUACUAAAGCUUGUCUGGUCAAGCAAUAUCAUACCCUAAUUUUAACCUAAUAUUUUCCAUAUAUGAUCCAAGCAUUGAACUCACUGGCUUAGGCUUCAAUUUAGCUCCUAGCUCUUCAAACCUCAAGCUCUCCCUCUAGCUUCCUGUUCUUUCCUCUUGUGAUCUACUUUCUCUCUCUACCUCUUAUGUUUUUAUGAAAUAAAAUAAUGAAUGGCCUAACCAAAUUUUCUCAUCUUUCUUACUAAAGCUUGUCUGGUCAAGCAAUAUCAUAUCCCACUAUUAACCUAAUAUUUUCCCUCCAUCAUCCAAGCAUUAAAUUCUCCUUAGUUCUUUUCCUAAUCAUCACUACUAGAUCGUCUACCCGUGCUGCCGCACGGGUCAUAUACAGUUAAAAACAAAUUGAAUAGAUGUAAAAUACCCACAAAUUCUUUGACAAAACAAUAUAAUUGAGUUAAUAUGAAUUUGGAAAAUUACGCGGACUUCGCCACGGGAUUGGAUACACAAUUUUUUAAUAGGGUGGCUUAGGAAAAUACAUUAACUCAAUACGGCACUUAGUAUUACUAAACAUAAGCAGAUUCAAGCUUAAAAACAAAACAUACUUAACUAAAGCCAAUCCAAAAAAGUUGCAAUACAAAUUUGGAUCCAAAAAAGUGACUGAUAUGUCAACACUUAAUAAUUUAGACAAAAUAUGAAAUAUCAUAACAGGAAAAUACCUCUUCUCUAUCAUAACUUCAUGUUCGUUUUCGUUUGGAUCACUCAAUGUUACAUAUGUAGAAAUUUGAUACCCAAACUCCCUUGUAAACAUAGAAGGUAUCUUUGCUUUACAUGUUUAUACUUUAAACAUCAAAUCAAAUGUUCAAAAUGAUAUACAGUAGCAUGAGUUUUUAUAAAACAAAAUCCAUAUAUUACUUAAAAAAUAGGGGUUAACACCAACUACUUACAUGUAAAUCCCUUUAGAAACCAAUGAACAUUGCAUCCACACCCACAUAAACGAUUGAAUAGUCUCCUUUUGUCACCGUCUUCUCUCCCUCUAAUUCUGCAUUUGAGAAAUCUGGUCAACAGUCACUCAAUCUUUUAUGCUACCGCUUGAUUAUGUUGUCACUGUCGCACCAAAGUUUCCCACGGCUUCCUGCCGGCACUAAGCUUUCAACGAUGUCAUAAGUGAGUCUCUAAAUCAAUAUACGGAUCCUCCACCAGUUUCCAAAAAUCGCAACACAAAUCACAUUUCUCCCAUUAAACCAUUAAAAAACAAUAUCUAACUUAAUUAUUCAUUACCAUAAUCAUCAGCAUUUCUUUGGUACGAUGAAUGAAAAACAAACAUUAAGUUGAAGCUCUCAUUUGCAAUUGAAAGUACUAUUCAAGAAAAGCUUCAAACUAUUUGAUAAGCAGGUAGAAAGAAUAAGUUUGAUAUUAAACUAAAACUAUGCUACUCAAAAUGAUAAAAGCAAAAUCAAGGACCAUAAACAAAGCAAAAUAAAAAAACAGGCGUACCAAAAAAAGUCGAUAGAUAGAAUCAAGGUUGAGAUGACAAAGUGGAGACCGGAAAUGAUGAUUCGGCGUGACGCAAUAAAACUAAGCAAGCGAAUGAUCCAAUGGGGUGACAUGCAUGAGGAUUUUGGGAAGAUGAACGAAGCGUGAAAGGACGUUGAGAAGGACGAACAAUCGACGAUGGGUGUUACGUUUGACGGUUGCAGGGGAGGAGAAGUGGAAGAUGCCGGUGGAGGUGUCGAGAGGGUAAGAGGUGAAAUGGGUCUCAAAGUUUGAAGGCAAAUGUUGAUUUUUUAUUUAAUUAUUUAUUAGAAAAUGAACAAAUUAAUUUUAACCUAAUAUUUUCCCACCAUCAUCCAAGCAUUAAAUUCUCCUUAGUUCUUUUCCUAAUCAUCACUACUAGAUCGUCUACCCGUGCUGCCGCACGGGUCAUAUACAGUUAAAAACAAAUUGAAUAGAUGUAAAAUACCCACAAAUUUUUUGACAAAACAAUAUAAUUGAGUUAAUAUGAAUUUGGAAAAUUACGCGGACUUCGCCACGGGAUUGGAUACACAAUUUUUUAAUAGGGUGGCUUAGGAAAAUACAUUAACUCAAUACGGCACUUAGGGUCCGUUUGGAUUAGCUUAUUUUAGAGUUUAUAUAAAAUAACUUAUGCAAAUAAAUAAGUUUUUAUGUAUUAUUUAUAAGUUUUCAAGCUAUUUUAUGGAAAAACAGGUUAUGAAGAUGUGAUUUUCGUUAGCGAGAGCUUAUAAAUUAAAAUAAAAACUUAUUUAUUUACAUAAGUUAUUUUUCAUAAGCCUAAAAUAAGCUCAAACCAAACGGGGCCUUAGUAUUACUGAACAUAAGCAGAUUCAAGCUUAAAAACAAAACCUACUUAACUAAAGCCAAUCCAAAAAAUUGCAAUACAAAUUUGGAUCCAAAAAAGUGACUGAUAUGUCAACCCUUAAUAAUUUAGACAAAAUAUGAAAUAUCAUAACAGGAAAAUACCUCUUCUCUAUCAUAACUUCAUGUUCGUUUCCGUUUGGAUCACUCAAUGUUACAUAUGUAGAAAUUUAAUACCCAAACUCCCUUGUAAACAUUUAUGAACAAUUAAAUUUGUUACAUAUGUACGAAUAUAAAGCACAAUUAAAUAUUUAUGAACAUGUAGGACGUAUAUUAUGUUAAUUACUAAUGAAGUUAACUACGCCUAACAUAAUACGAUCAAGCAUAGAUUAAAAAGCAACUUAUUGAAGUAAUAUUGCCUCUGCACAUGAAAAAAAAAACAUGUAAUAAAAAUAUUUUCUUAUACAUCUUAUGAAUGGCCAAAUGAACUAUAAAUACGUUUUUUAGCAAUCACAAACAUACUCCACCUUGUUGUAGAAAUAAUUAAAUAGUUUAAGCAUUAUAAAUUUUUAAAGGCUCUUCAUAAUUUUAGAAUUAUUAGUAAAUAUCUCUUAAAUAUAUCAAUGUGCUAUUUUUGUUCAUUUAGCACACAUUAAAGGACUUCAUGUAAUAAAAAUAAUAAUUAAUAUAAUUGAAUACAAUUUUACAAACUUUAGUUUACUUUUUCCUGUAAAUAAUUGUAUUUUUUUUAACCUUUCGUAAGGGUAAAGGGGAAAACAAUUAUACCAUCGUAAAAUUAUGUACGAAUAGAAAGCACAAUUAAAUAUUUAUGAACAAGUAGGACAUAUGUUAUCUUAAUUACUAAUGAAGUUAACUACGCCUUACAUAAUACGACCAAGCAUAGAUUAAAAAGCAACAUAUUGAAGGAACAUUGCCUCAACACAUGAACAAAAACAUGUUAUAAAAAGUUUUUCCUAUAAUCUUAUGAAUGACCAAAUGAACAAUAAAUAAGUUUUUUAACAAUCACAAACAUACUCAACCUUGUUGUAGAAAUAAUUAAAUAGUUUAAGCAUUAUAAAUUUUUAAAUGCUCUUCAUAAUUUUAGAAUUAUUAGUAAAUAUCUCUUAAAUAUAUCAAUGUGUUAUUAUUUUUCAUUUAGCACACAUUAAAGGACUUCAUGUGAUAAAAAUAAUAAUCAAUAAAAUUGAAUGCAAUUUUACAAACUUUAGAUUACUUUUUCCUGUAAAUAAUUGUAUUAUUAUUUUAUUUUAUCCUUUCGUAAGGGAAAAUGGGAUAACAAUUCUACCAUCGUAAAAUUAUGUACGAAUAUAAAGCAAAAUUAAAUAUUUACGAUCAAGUAGGACAUAUGUUAUGUUAAUUACUAAUGAAGUUAACUACGCCUCACAUAAUUAAUAUGACAAAGCAUAGAUUAAAAAGCAAUCUAUUGAAGGAACAUUGCCUCAACACAUGAACAAAAACAUGUUAUAAAAAGUUUUUCCUAUGAUCUUAUGAACGGCCAAAUGAACUAUAAAUAAGUAUUUUAGUAAUCACAAACAUACUCCACCUUCCUACGUUUUGGUACCUUAACUCUUCCUACGUCAACCACUUUGGUCCUUUAUUUUAGGAUGAAUGUAUUUGAGUUAAGGGACCAAAAUAAAACCAAAAAAUAAGUUAAGGGACCAAAACGAAAUUAAAAAAUAAGUUAUGGGACCGAAACGAAACUGUUAAUAGUUAAGGGACCAAAGCGAAACCAAAAAAUAAGUUAGGGGACCAAAAGAGUAAUUAAGCCUAAACUAUCGUAUGUGUUAACUCAUUCGUGGGAAAGGCUUUGAAUAAUCUGUUUUUAUAUCUAUGCUUACCAUUUUAAUUUGAAGAUCCUUCGAUUAUUUUAUUUUAUUUAGAUUCUAAAAGAGUUUCUUUCCAAUUUUUACAUGCAUAACCGUGUGUGUUAACUCAUUUAGAACACGGGAUAGCCUUAGGUAGCAUACAAUGCAAACUUAACUGAUAGUAUGGAUUAUGGAAUGCUUUGUCUUGAUAUUGGAACAACUCUGAACUCAGCUGUAUUAUUUUUUUGAAAAGAUUCUACAUAUAAACUUUAGGCAUGAACCAAAACUAUAUGAUGCAUUUGAAUCUUAUAGCAACCUACAACUCACAAAGUUGUUUAGCAUUGUGUUUGAUGGAAGAAUGUUCUCAUGAUGAAGAUGUUUAUUACACUCGAAAUUAUUCUUGUUAUUUCAUCAAAUUGAUUAGGAUCAAUUUUGAAGUGAAACCAAUUCAUGAAUAUUGAAUUAUUCAUAAAGUUAUUCAUUAAUGAUAUUGAUUGGAGAAUUAUCAAAGAUGAAACUUCAAUAUUAUAUGCAUGGAGAUUCUAUAGUAAAAUACUUAGGACGAUUCAAGAGUUUCCCAUCACUAUUCAAGAUAAGAAUAGAAAUAAAGCAAAGCAAUUUCGACAUUGAGAAAAGUUUUUCAUGUCUCUUAUAGAACAUUCUCGUCACAGAAUAAUCCUUGCGGAGACGAUUAUCUUACUACUAAAUUACUUAAGCAGUUGGUGCAUUUACCAGAUUUAUCAUCAUCUUUCAAAAUUUUGUUUAAACAUAGUAUUGUUUUCGAUUUUAGACAAGAUGGUUUUGACUUAAAACUAGUAAACACACUUAAAAACUAACCUUUUUUUAUAGAUUUUUUCUACCUACAUUAUACCUAAAAGUGAACAAAGUCUUCAAUUUCAAUUUUGGCGAUGUUGAACUUGUGAUAUUUUCAAUGCACUUCACCAAUUUCAACAUAACUAUUAAACUUAUUAUUAUAGGUGUGAUGUGUCCGGAUUGCAAACCAUGGUGAUAUCUCAAAAUUUACGAGACAAGGAGAUCCUAUAAAAAUAAAUUUAAGCCAAAAAAGCUGGAUGCAUAGAUGCAAACCAACCUAAAAUUCAUUAAAAAGAGAACAGAAAUACAAAGGGAAGGGGACUAGGCCGAAACUUCCAAACUAAUAAGAAAAUCUGAAAUUGGACCAGCCAUCUUUAUUCCUAAAGUAACUGGCCCUAGUGUACUCUGGUACAUCAUUCCAAAAGUGAAUAGAAUCAAGAGAUAAACCAUGAUUAGCCAAUGUGUCAGCUACUUGGUUUCCUUCUCUAUAUAUAUGUGAGAUAAUACAUUUGAGGCCCUGGAGAAUUACCUUGACAUUGUUCCAACGAUUUCAUAAGUUCCAAGGAAUCUGAUUAGUACUCUUAGAAGGAAGAACAACUAAUUAGUUCCAAGGAGAUCCUAUAAAUAAAACUCUUUGCUUCCUCGUUUCAUUUUCAUCAUCUUAUAAUACAAAGUCAUAACUUCAAGGUUCUUAAAACUAGGAAAAACAUAAGAAGAAAAUAAUAAUUAUUGAAUGCAUGAACAAAAACUAAAUGACAACAAGUGGAAUAUUCUAGCAUAAGGUAUAUUGAACAGUUCUCUUACUAGAGAAACAUAAUCUUUAACUGUCUAUCGGUGUACAAAAGCCACUACGACACCUAAUAUUAACUCCUCGAAAUUGUGGACAAUCUUUAUCUCUUUUACAACCCCUAAAAUUAAUCAUCUGACUAAAAGAAGAAUUAGUGCAAAGAAAUAUAGAAAGAAAUAAAAUUAUAACAUAAACUAACUUCGGAGUUUCACCCAUUUUUUUUCUUCCUAUUUGCAUCCAAAGAAUAGUAAAUGACUUGAUCUAUUUAUAGUGUAUAGUAAAGUUCAUGCUCUUGUAGAAAUAAUUAAAUAGUUUAAGAAUUAUAAAAUUUUAAAAGCUCUUCAGAAUUUUAGAAUUAUUACUAAAUGUCUCUUAAAUAUAUCAAUGUUUUACUUUUGUUCAUUUAACACACAUAGAAGGACAUCAUGUGAUAAAAAUAAUAAUCAAUAAAAUUGAAUGCAAUUUUACAAACUUUAGGUUACUUUAAUUUUUUUUGUAAAUAAUUGUAUUAUUUUUUUCACCUUUUGUAUGCGUAAAGGGGAAAACAAUUAUACCAUCGUAAAGUUAUGUACGAAUACAAAGCACAAUUAAAUAUUUAUGAACAUGUAGGACGUAUAUUAUGUUAAUUACUAAUAAAUUUAACUACGCCUAACAUAAUACGACCAAGCAUAGAUUAAAAAGCAACCUAUUGAAAGAACAUUGCCUCUACACAUGAAAAAAAAACAUGUAAUAAUAAUAUUUCCUUAUAAUCUUAUGAAUGGCCAAAUGAACUAUAAAUACGUUUUUUAGAAAUCACAAACAUACUCCACCUUGUUGUAGAAAUAAUUAAAUAGUUUAAGCAUUAUAAAUUUUUAAAGGCUCUUCAUAAUUUUAGAAUUAUUAAUAAAUAUCACUUAAAUAUAUCAAUGUGUUAUUUUUGUUCAUUUAGCACACAUUAAGGGACUUCAUGUGAUAAAAAUAAUAAUUAAUAUAAUUGAAUACAAUUUUACAAACUUUAGUUUACUUUUCCUGUAAAUAAUUCUAUUUUUUUUUUAACCUUUCGUAAGGGUAAAGGGGAAAACAAUUAUACCAUUAUAAAAUUAUGCACGAAUAGAAAGCACAAUUAAAUAUUUAUGAACAAGUAGGACGUAUGUUAUCUUAAUUACUAAUGAAGUUAACUACGCCUUACAUAAUACGACCAAGCAUAGAUUAAAAAGCAACAUUUUGAAGGAACAUUGCCUCAACACAUGAACAAAAACAUGUUAUAAAAAGUUUUUCCUAUAAUCUUAUGAAUGGCCAAAUGAACAAUAAAUAAGUUUUUUAACAAUCACAAACAUACUCCACCUUGUUGUAGAAAUAAUUAAAUAGUUUAAGCAUUAUAAAUUUUUAAAUGCUCUUCAUAAUUUUAGAAUUAUUAGUAAAUAUCUCUUAAAUAUAUCAAUGUGUUAUUAUUUUUCAUUUAGCGCACAUUAAAGGACUUCAUGUGAUCAAAAUAAUAAUCAAUAAAAUUGAAUGCAAUUUGACAAACUUUAGAUUACUUUUUUCCUUGUAAAUAAUUGGAUUAUUAUUUUUAUUUAUCCUUUCGUAAGGGAAAAUGUGAUAACAAUUCUACCAUCGUAAAAUUAUGUACGAAUAUAAAGCACAAUUAAAUAUUUAUGAUCAAGUAGGACAUAUGUUAUGUUAGUUACUAAUGAAGUUAACUACGCCUCACAUAAUACGACCAAACAUAGAUUCAAAAGCAACCUAUUAAAGGAACAUUGCCUCAAUACAUGAACAAAAACAUGGUACAAAAAGUUUUUCCUAUAAUCUUAUGAAUGACCAAACAAACUAUACAUAAGUUUUUUAGUAAUCACAAACAUACUUCACCUUUUUGUAGGAAUAAUUAAAUAAGCAUAUUAUAAAUUUUUUAAAGCUCUUCAUAAUUUUAAAAUUAUUAGUAAAUAUCUCUUAAAUAUAUCAAUGUGUUUUUUUUUUUCAUUUGGCACACAUAAAACGACUUCAUGUGAUAAAAAUAAUAAUCAAUAUAAUUAAAUACAAUCUUACGAACUUUAGUUUACUUUUUUCUGUAAAUAAUUGUAUUUUUUUUAGCCUUUCGUGAGGAUAAAGGGGAAAACAAUUACCAUCGUAAAGUUAUGUACGAAUAUAAAGCAGAAUUAAAUAUUUUUGAACAAGUAGGACAUAUGUUAUGUUAAUUACUCAUGAAGUUAACUACGCCUCACAUAAUUAAUAUGACAAAGCAUAGAUUAAAAAGCAAUCUAUUGAAGGAACAUUGUCUCAACACAUGAACAAAAACAUGUUAUAAAAAGUUUUUCCUAUGAUCUUAUGAAUGGCCAAAUGAACUAUAAAUAAGUAUUUUAGUAAUCACAAACAUACUCCACCUUCCUACGUUUUGGUACCUUAACUCUUCCUACGUCAACCACUUUGGUCCUUUAUUUUAGGAUGAAUGUAUUUGAGUUAAGGGACCAAAAUAAAACCAAAAAAUAAGUUAAGGGACCAAAACGAAAUUAAAAAAUAAGUUAUGGGACCGAAACGAAACUUUUAAUAGUUAAGGGACCAAAGCGAAACCAAAAAAUAAGUUAGGGGACCAAAAGAGUAAUUAAGCCUAAACUAUCGUAUGUGUUAACUCAUUCGUGGGAAAGGCUUUGAAUAAUCUAUUUUUAUAUCUAUGCUUACCAUUUUAAUUUGAAGAUCCUUCGAUUAUUUUAUUUUAUUUAGAUUCUAAACGAGUUUCUUUCCAAUUUUUACAUGCAUAACCGUGUGUGUUAACUCAUUUAGAACACGGGAUAGCCUUAGGUAGCAUACAAUGCAAACUUAACUGAUAGUAUGGAUUAUGGAAUGCUUUGUCUUGAUAUUGGAACAACUCUGAACUCAGCUGUAUUAUUUUUUUGAAAAGAUUCUACAUAUAAACUUUAGGCAUGAACCAAAACUAUAUGAUGCAUUUGAAUCUUAUAGCAACCUACAACUCACAAAGUUGUUUAGCAUUGUGUUUGAUGGAAGAAUGUUCUCAUGAUGAAGAUGUUUAUUACACUCGAAAUUAUUCUUGUUAUUUCAUCAAAUUGAUUAGCAUCAAUUUUGAAGUGAAACCAAUUCAUGAAUAUUGAAUUAUUCAUAAAGUUAUUCAUUAAUGAUAUUGAUUGGAGAAUUAUCAAAGAUGAAACUUCAAUAUUAUAUGCAUGGAGAUUCUAUAGUAAAAUACUUAGGACGAUUCAAGAGUUUCCCAUCACUAUUCAAGAUAAGAAUAGAAAUAAAGCAAAGCAAUUUCGACAUUGAGAAAAGUUUUUCAUGUCUCUAAUAGAACAUUCUCGUCACAGAAUAAUCCUUGCGGAGACGAUAAUCUUACUACUAAAUUACUUAAGCAGUUGGUGCAUUUGCCAGAUUUAUCAUCAUCUUUCAAAAUUUUGUUUAAACAGAGUAUUGUUUUCGAUUUUAGACAAGAUGGUUUUGACUUAAAACUAGUAAACACACUUAAAAACUAACCUUUUUUUUUAGAUUUUUUCUACCUACAUUAUACCUAAAAGUGAACAAAGUCUUCAAUUUCAAUUUUGGCAAAGUUGAAUUUGUGAUAUUUUCUAUGCACUUCACCAAUUUCAACAUAACUAUUAAACUUAUUAUUAUAGGUGUGAUGUGUCCGGAUUGCAAACCAUGGUGAUAUCUCAAAAUUUACGAGACAAGGAGAUCCUAUAAAAAUAAAUUUAAGCCAAAAAGGCUGGAUGCAUAGAUGCAAACCAACCUCAAUUUCAUUAAAAAGAGAACAGAAAUACAAAGGGAAGGGGACUAGGCCGAAACUUCCCAACUAAUAAGAAAAUCUGAAAUUGGACCAGCCAUCUUUAUUCCUAAAGUAACUGGCCCUAGUGAACUCUGGUACAUCAUUCCAAAAGUGAAUAGAAUCAAGAGAUAAACCAUGAUUAGCCAAUGUGUCAGCUACUUGGUUUCCUUCUCUAUAUAUAUGUGAGAUAAUACAUUUGAGGCCCUGGAGAAUUACCUUGACAUUGUUCCAACGAUUUCUUAAGUUCCAAGGAAUCUGAUUAGUACUCUUAGAAGCAAGAACAACAAAUUAGUUCCAAGGAGAUCCUAUAAAUAAAACUCUUUGCUUCCUCAUUUCAUUUUCAUCAUCUUAUAAUACAAAGUCAUAACUUCAAGGUUCUUAAAACUAGGAAAAACAUAAGAAGAAAAUAAUAAUUAUUGAAUGCAUGAACAAAAACUAAAUGACAACAAGUGGAAUAUUCUAGCAUAAGGUAUAUUGAACAGUUCUCUUACUAGAGAAACAUAAUCUUUAACUGUCUAUCGGUGUACAAAAGCCACUACGACACCUAAUAUUAACUCCUCGAAAUUGUGGACAAUCUUUAUCUCUUUUACAACCACUAAAAUUAAUCAUCUGACUAAAAGAAGAAUUAGUGCAAAGAAAUAUAGAGAGAAAUAAAAUUAUAACAUAAACUAACUUCGGAGUUUCACCCUUUUUUUUUCUUCCUAUUUGCAUCCAAAGAAUAGUAAAUGACUUGAUCUAUUUAUAGUGUAUAGUAAAGUUCAUGCUCUUGUAGAAAUAAUUAAAUAGUUUAAGAAUUAUAAAAUUUUAAAAGCUCUUCAGAAUUUUAGAAUUAUUACGAAAUGUCUCUUAAAUAUAUCAAUGUUUUCCUUUUGUUCAUUUAACACACAUAGAAGGACAUCAUGUGAUAAAAAUAAUAAAUCAAUAAAAAUGAAUGCAAUUUUACAAACUUUAGAUUACUUUAAUUAUUUCUGUAAAUAAUUGUAUUAUUUUUUUCACCUUUUGUAUGCGUAAAGGGGAAAACAAUUAUACCAUCGUAAAGUUAUGUACGAAUAUAAAGCACAAUUAAAUAUUUAUGAACAUGUAGGACGUAUAUUAUGUUAAUUACUAAUGAAUUUAACUACGCCUAACAUAAUACGACCAAGCAUAGAUUAAAAAGCAACCUAUUGAAGGAACAUUGCCUCUACACAUGAAAAAAAAACAUGUAAUAAAAAUAUUUCCUUAUAAUCUUAUGAAUGGCCAAAUGAUCUAUAAAUACGUUUUUUAGAAAUCACAAACAUACUCCACCUUAUUGUAGAAAUAAUUAAAUAGUUUAAGCAUUAUAAAUUUUUAAAGGCUCUUCAUAAUUUUAGAAUUAUUAGUAAAUAUCACUUAAAUAUAUCAAUGUGUUAUUUUUGUUCAUUUAGCACACAUUAAAGGACUUCAUGUGAUAAAAAUAAUAAUUAAUAUAAUUGAAUACAAUUUUACAAACUUUAGUUUACUUUUUCCUGUAAAUAAUUCUAUUUUUUUUUAACCUUUCGUAAGGGUAAAGGGGAAAACAAUAAUACCAUUAUAAAAUUAUGUACGAAUAGAAAGCACAAUUAAAUAUUUAUGAACAAGUAGGACGUAUGUUAUCUUAAUUACUAAUGAAGUUAACUACGCCUUACAUAAUACGACCAAGCAUAGAUUAAAAAGCAACCUAUUGAAGGAACAUUGCCUCAACACAUGAACAAAAACAUGUUAUAAAAAGUUUUUCCUAUAAUCAUAUGAAUGGCCAAAUGAACAAUAGAUAUGUUUUUUAACAAUCACAAACAUACUCCACCUUGUUGUAGAAAUAAUUAAAUAGUUUAAGCAUUAUAAAUUUUUCAAUGCUCUUCAUAAUUUUAGAAUUAUUAGUAAAUAUCUCUAAAAUAUAUCAAUGUGUUAUUAUUUUUCAUUUAGCACACAUUAAAGGACUUCAUGUGAUAAAAAUAAUAAUCAAUAAAAUUCAAUGCAAUUUUACAAACUUUAGAUUACUUUUUCCUGUAAAUAAUUGUAUUAUUAUUAUUUUAUUUUAUCCUUUCGUAAGGGAAAAUGGGAUAUCAAUUCUACCAUCGUAAAAUUAUGUACGGAUAUAAAGCACAAUUAAAUAUUUAUGAUCAAGUAGGACAUAUGUUAUGUUAAUUAGUAAUGAAGUUAACUACGCCUCACAUAAUACGACCAAGCAUAGAUUCAAAAGCAACCUAUUGAAGGAACAUUCCCUCAACACAUGAACAAAAACAUGGUACAAAAAGUUUUUACUAUAUUCUUAUGAAUGACCAAACGAACUAUAAAUAAAUUUUUUAGUAAUCACAAACAUACUCCACCUUUUUGUAGGAAUAAUUAAAUAAGCAUUUUAAUUUUUAAAAGCUCUUCAUAAUUUUAAAAUUAUUAGUAAAUAUCUCUUAAAUAUAUCAAUGUGUUAUUUUUUUUUCAUUUGGCACACAUAAAACGACUUCAUGUGAUAAAAAUAAUAAUUAAAUACAAUCUUACGAACUUUAGUUUACUUUUUUCUGUAAAUAAUUGUAUUUUUUUUAACCUUUCGUGAGGAUAAAGGGGAAAACAACUACCAUCGUAAAGUUAUGUACGAAUAUAAAGAAGAAUUAAAUAUUUUUGAACAAGUAUGACAUAUGUUAUGUUAAAUUACUAAUGAAGUUAACUACGCCUCACAUAAUUAAUACGACAAAGCAUAGAUUAAAAAGCAAUCUAUUAAAGGAACAUUGCCUCAACACAUGAACAAAAACAUGUUAUAAAAAGUUUUUCCUAUGAUCUUAUGAAUGGCCAAAUGAACUAUAAAUAAGUAUUUUAGUAAUCAGAAACAUACUCCACCUUGUUGUAGAAAUAAUUAAAUAGUUUAAGCAUUAUAAAUUUUUAACAGCUCUUCAUAAUUUUAAAAUUAUUAGUAAAUAUCACUUAAAUAUAUCAAUGUGUUAUUUUUUUUUUCAUUUGGCAGACAUAAAACGACUUCAUGUGAUAAAAAUAAUAAUCAAUAUAAUUGAAUACAAUUUUACAAUUCUUUUUUUUUCUUUUCUUUAUCUUAGUACAAUUUGGUAAAAUUAAGAGUCAGAGAACACUAUCGAUGAAAUUUUGUCUGGCGACGUUAUUACUGUUCACCGUCUUCCUUAAUGGUCUCUAAACCCUCCACCGCCAUGCCUAAUCAACCCCCUUCUUCUUCCCAACCUUUUCUAAUCCCAUGGAAAUGUCUGGACGAUUCUGAAUCUGUGAUGAUCGCACAAAAAACACCAACCAAAAAUUUACCCAAAGCUCAAAUGACGUUUGCGCAAGCCCUAACAAACGUUUGUGAUACUCCUUCCAGUCAGUUACCUAAACCUACAAUCAAAGGCGACAAGUUUUCAAUUUCGAUUCCUGAUGAGGAAUAUGAUUUGGGUUUGGAUGGAUGCAAAAAUAACCUUCAUGCACGUAUCAUCUGGCCAAAGGGUUCCUCACCCUUAACUGUUGUUGCCUUGAAAGAAAAGUUAAAGCCUAUAUGGAAAAACCUAGCUCCAUGGGGUGUUACAUCCAUAGGGAAAGGGUUUUAUGAAUUUGUGUUUUCCUCUAUUGAGGAUGCUCGUAGGGUAAGAUCUGUUGGUUCAUGGAUUUUAAAUCCAGGGCUGCUGAAACUCUUUCCUUGGACAAGUGAUUUCAGUCCAAACCUGCAAACUAAUACCUCAGCUCAAGUAUGGUUGAAAAUUCAUGGUCUUUCUCAAGAAUACUGGAGAAAGAGGAUUAUUUUUGCGAUUGCAAGCAGUGUUGGCACCCCCAUCUGUGUGGACUCUAUUACAAGUAAGCCUGCUAUUGAAAGGACUUUUGGCCACUUUGCUAGGGUUUUGAUUGAUAUUGAUCUGAGUAAGGAACUGAGAUAUGAGGUUCUUGUGGAAAGGAGAGGUUAUGCUUUCUUUGUGGAGUUGGAAUAUGAGAAUCUACCAGAUUUUUGUGGUUAUUGCCAGGCGGUGGGUCAUAAUGUUAGUGUUUGUAGGAAAGCUAACAAGAAACACAUGGAAACAAAUCAACAUGUGGGAAACAGUGGAGCAGCUGCGGUGAUGAAUGACAAAAAUAAAGGAAAAGCUCCUCUGGAAAAACAGGACAACGUUUGGAUCCCUAAAACAACUUCUGUUGUUGAUUUAGAAGCUGAAAAUCAAGACAAACAAAUACAUCUACAAGAUGAGGGGAACAAAGACUCGGAUGGUACAAAAUCAAAUGCAUCACAGGCGCAACCUCAACCUGUAGCAAUUGAAAUCAUUAGUAACUCCCCUGUUGUGGAAAGGGUGCAACCUGAAGUUCAGCAAUCAGUUGAAGAUGUUAGUGAUAACAGCUCUCAAGAAUCUGAAUUUGUAGAUGCUACUCAACAACACAAUGAUGAUACGGAUGAUAUUUCAAGUCAGGAGCAAGAUUCAACUAUCAGAACUCAGCAAAAUACGCAUUUUCUCAAUCAAUCAUGGGCUAAUCUUGCAGCUACUGAUGAGGAUUUGAUCAGGCAACAGGAAGCGGAGCUAGUUGCAAAAUUAGCUCAGGAAGCAGACAUAGAUGUGCAGAUUUAUCAGGAGGAUCUAAACAAUAUAGAAGCUUCUAGAUUUGAGUUGGUGACUAAUAGAAGAAAGAAAAUCCACAAGGCUAAAUCAAAUAAAGCAAGCAGCUCAUACCUUACUAGGUCUAAGGUCCCAACUAAACUUUCUCAAUGAAGUGCUUAUAUUGGAAUAUAAGGGGAUUAGCUAACUCCCCAUCAAGGUUAGCCCUUAAAAAUUUAAUUACUGCUCAUAAACCACAUAUUGUCAUUAUCUCUGAACCUUGGCUUUUGUUUGAACAUUUCCCUAGACAUUGGUUUCACAGACUGCGUUUUAAACUCUUUGCCCUAAAUACUAGAAAUAAUCUUGAUCCUAAUCUAUGGUGCUUGUGCCUCAAUCAUUUAACCCCUGAUGUUUUGUCCAUCACUGACCAACAAAUUACUUUUUCCCUAAAAGACAACAACAUAACUUUUGCUAUAUCAGCCAUAUAUGCUUCCACCAACUACAUACAUAGGAGACAACUCUGGCAAACCCUAACAAACCUUCAAAACCAAUACAAUUUACCUUGGUGCUCUAUUGGUGAUUUCAACACCAUAUUGGGGUCUCAUGAGCACAGGGGUACCUCAACUCCAGCUAGAGGUCCCAUGAAUGAUUUUGCUGAAUGGUCCAAUCAAAAUUAUCUUUUCCAUCUACCAACUAGAGGAGUGCAAUUUACCUGGUCCAGUGGUAGGAGUGGACGAAGGCUCACCGAAAGGAGGUUAGACAGAGCAAUAUGCAAUCAAUCAUGGUUGGAUAUGUGCUCCGCUUUAAAUGUUUCCACUCUCUCAAGGCUGAAGUCUGACCAUUUUCCUUUACUAAUGGAUUUUGAAACCUCUACAAUCUCUUUUGCUUCACAAUUUAAAUUCAUGAAUAUGUGGAGUUUGCAUGCUGAUUGUAAAAAUCUGAUUCAACAAAGUUGGAAUGAAACUGUUGUGGGAUGCCCUAUGUUUAUUUUGAACCAAAAGCCGAAGAACCUCAAACAAAAACUCAAGAUAUGGAACAAAACAGUUUUUGGCAAUCUCAACUCGAUAGUUAAAGAAGCCGAACAAAAGUUGCUAUACAUCCAAGAUGAAAUUGACUCCAAUGGUGCCACUGAAACUCUUCUUGAACAUCAAAAAAUGGCACAGAUUUCUUUGGAGCAUGCUUUAGAAAUAGAAGAGGAGUUUUGGAGGGAAAAAUCCAAUAAUGCUUGGCAUGCUCAAGGAGACAGAAACACCAAAUAUUUCCACAGACUAGCCAACAUCAAACACACAUCCAAACGCAUUGAUUCUAUUAAGGAUGGGGAGAACUUGAUUAUUGAGCCAGACAAAUUUCAUCUCACAUAACAAAUCACUUCCAAAAUAUUUUUUCUUCUAAUUUUUCUGUGCAGGAUUUGCAGGUUGAUGAAUUAAUUGAUGGUGUGAUUCUAACAUGAUAAAUGAAGACUCUAAUCAUAUUCUCACAAUGCUUCCAACUCCCCAAGAAAUCUUCCAGGCUGUUUGUUCUUUGAAGAAGGAUAGUGCUCCAGGCCCUGAUGGUUUUGGGGCAAGUUUUUAUCAAAAUUAUUGGGAGAUUGUAAAGAAUGAUGUUAUUAAUGCUGUUUUGGAAUUUUUUACAAAGGACUGGUUGCUCCCUAACUUUAACUCCAAUACCAUUGUGCUUAUACCUAAAGUUUCAGAGGCAUUGACAGUAAAUCAGUAUAGGCCAAUUGCCCUGGCCAACUUCAAGUUCAAGAUUGUUUCUAAGAUUCUUGCAGAUAGGUUAGCUCCCAUCAUGAAGAACAUCAUCUCUCCUCAGCAGCGGGGCUUCAUUCAAGGUAGGAACAUAAGGGACUGUAUUUGUGUAACUUCUGAAGCUAUCAAUCAACUCCACAACAAGUCUUUUGCAGGGAAUUUGGCAUUCAAAGUUGACAUUUCUAAAGCUUUUGACACUUUAGAAUGGAAGUUUCUGAUCAAAGUUUUAAGUAGUUUUGGUUUCAAUGACAGAUUUUGCUCAUGGAUAAAAACCAUUCUAAAUUCUGUCUCUUUAUCUAUUAAUGUGAAUGGUAAACUGCAUGGGUUUUUCAAAUGCAAGAGAGGGGUCAGGCAGGGAGACCCACUUUCUCCACUUCUCUUUUGUAUUGCUGAAGACGUUUUAAGCAGGAAUAUUUAUAAACUGGUAGAACAAGGCAAACUCAACCUUAUCAAAGGCACAAGAAACACUCCAGUUCCUUCUCAUUCCUUAUAUGCGGAUGAUAUUAUGAUAUUUUGUAAGGGGAAUAUUUCUUCUGUUCAUGCUCUAAUGAAUCUUUUUAAUUCUUAUGCUUUGGCUUCAGGACAGUUUAUCAAUCCUUCCAAGUCUACGGUUUUUCAUGGUUCCAUUUCAAAUGCUAGACUGGAGCAGAUUGUUAACUUAAUUGGCUUUAACAGAGGCACCCUCCCUUUCUCUUACCUUGGAGUCCCAAUUUUCAAGGGGAAGCCAAAGAAGUCUCAUUUACAACCUAUUGCUGACAAGAUAAAAUCUGAGCUUAGUGCGUGGAAAGCAUCUCUUUUAUCCAUUGCAGGAAGAGUCACUUUAGUCAAGUCGGUAAUUCAAGGAAUGAUGAUACACACUAUCUCUGUGUACUCUUGGCCCACCUCAUUAAUUAAAUAUGUUGAGGUUUGGAUUAGGAAUUUUAUAUGGAGUGGAGAUAUUUCAAAGAGGAAAUUGGUAACGGUUUCUUGGAAGAAAGUCUGUAGACCCUUUUCUAAAGGAGGGUUGGGAUUGAGAUCUUUACACACGGUUAAUGAGGCUGCCAACUUGAAGUUGUGUUGGGAUCUCAAAAAUUCAAUGGAAGACUGGGCCAUUCUUUUACGGAGCAAGGUCUGCAGAGGUAACAACAUCAUUUCUCAUCAUAUUUUCUCAUCUAUUUGGAGUAGUGUUAAAUCUGAGUUCAAUACCAUCAAUGAUAAUUGUUGUUGGAUCAUUGGUAAUGGGGAAAAAAUUAAUUUCUGGUUGGAUUCUUGGCUUGAGAAACCGAUUGCUUCCAUUCUUAACUUGCCUGAAACUGUUCACGGUAACUUAAAGGACAAGGUGUGUGAUUUUUUGCACAACUCAACAUGGCACCUCCCACAACAUCUUCUAAAUUCAUUCCCCAAUCUGGGGCAUAUUGUUAUGCAAGUUACUCUUCCGAGUGAAUCAAAGGAGGAUAGUUUGGUUUGGAAACAUUGUGCAUCAGGGGCUUUAUCUUUUAAAGACGCCUUUUUGUUCAAAUAUGGUUUAGGGCAGAAUGUUUCUUGGGCUAAACAAAUCUGGUGCACAGACAUACCUCCCUCUAAGUCUUUGAUGACUUGGAAGCUCAUGCACAAUAAACUAUCAACAGAUGAAAAUCUAAUGCUUAGGGGUUGUAAUUUACCUUCAAUGUGCUCAUCUUGUCAAGCUUCUUCAGAAACUACCUUUCAUCUCUUCUUUGAAUGCAAUUUUGCUACUAAAAUGUGGUCUUGGCUAGCUUCCCUUCUCAAUACUCCUCUUCAAUUCAGCACCUCUGCAGAUAUGUGGUCUCCUCUUCAACUCAACUGGACUCCUCAAUGCAAAGUGGUGAUAACGGCCUGCAUCAUAAACUUGUUAAAUGUUAUCUGGUUUAGAAGAAACAACAUCCGUUUUCAAGACAAAGUGAUUGAUUGGAAAACAGCCAUCAAUAUGAUUAUCUCUAAAGUCUCACUUUCAGGUAACUUAACCAAAAAAACAUCAGCUGCUAAUAUGUUGGAGUUCACAAUUUUCAAAGCCUGCAAGGUUAGCAUCAAGCCCCCCCAGGACCCCUCUGCUCAAAGAAGUUAUUUGGGCUCCUCCUCUGAAUUCUUGGGUUAAAAUUAACACGGAUGGGGCAUCAAUUAAAAAUCCUACUAGAGCUGCAGCUGGUGGUAUCUUCAGAAAUUCGGAUGGUGCUUGUUUGGGUGGAUUUGCUCAGUAUCUUGGUAGUGCAAAUGCUUUGUAUGCUGAACUGUCGGCAGCUAUGAAUGCAAUUGAAAUUGCUUCACUAAUGGGCUUCUCCAAUGUGUGGUUAGAAUCAGACUCUCAAUUGGUGAUUUUGGCGUUUAACUCAAUUUAUGUGGUUCCUUGGGGGUUAAGAAAUAGGUGGGAAAAUUGCUUAAAACUUACUUAUAAUAUGAGGUUUUGUGCUUCUCACAUCUAUAGGGAAGGGAAUACUUGUGCAGAUAAACUUGCUAACUUUGGUUUAUCUUUGUCCUCUUUGGAUUUAUUUUGGUUUGAUUCCAUACCUGCUUUUGUAAGCGAGGAGUACAAUAGGAAUAGGUUGGGAAUGCCCAAUUUUAGAUAUGUAACCUUUUGAAAAGGUUUGGUUUGGUCCCCCUUUUCUUCUUUGUACUUUUUUUCUCUCUUUUUAAUGAAUUAAUCUGAUGCUCUUUGCAUCGUUUAUAAAAAAAAAAGAAUACAAUUUUACAAACUUUAGUUUACUUUUUCCUGUAAAUAAUUCUAUUUUUUUUUAACCUUUCGUGAGGGUAAAGGGGAAAACAAUUAUACCAUUAUAAAAUUAUGUACGAAUAGAAAGCAGAAUUAAAUAUUUUUGAACAAGUAUGACAUAUGUUAUGUUAAAUUACUAAUGAAGUUAACUACGCCUCACAUAAUUAAUACGACAAAGCAUAGAUUAAAAAGCAAUCUAUUAAAGGAACAUUGCCUCAACGCAUGAACAAAAACAUGUUAUAAAAAGUUUUUCCUAUGAUCUUAUGAAUGGCCAAAUGAACUAUAAAUAAGUAUUUUAGUAAUCAGAAACAUACUCCACCUUGUUGUAGAAAUAAUUAAAUAGUUUAAGCAUUAUAUAUUUUUAACAGCUCUUCAUAAUUUAAAAAUUAUUAGUAAAUAUCUCUUAUAUAUAUCAAUGUGUUAUUUUUGUUCAUUUAGAAAACAUAACAGGACUUAAUGUGAUAAAAAUAAUAAUCAAUAUAAUUGAAUACAAUUUUACAAACUUUAGUUUACUUUUUCCUGUAAAUAAUGGUAUUUUUUUUAACCUUUUGUGAGGUAAAGGGGAAAACAAUUAUACCAUCUUAAAGUUAUGUACGAAUAUAAAGCACAAUUAAAUAUUUUUGAACAAGUAGGACAUAUAUGUUAUGUUAAUUACUAAUGAAGUUAACUAAGCCUCACAUAAUACGACCAAGCAUAGAUUAAAAAGCAAUAUAUUGAAGGAACAUUGCUUCAACACAUGAACAAAAACAUGUUAUAAAAAGUUUUUCCUAUGAUCUUAUGAAUGGCCAAAUGAACUAUAAAUAAGUUUUUUAGUAAUCACAAACAUACUCCACCUUGUUGUAGAAAUAAUUAAAUAGUUUAAGAAUUAUAAAUUUUUAAAGGCUCUUCAUAAUUUUAGAAUUAUUAGUAAAUAUCUCUUAAAUAUAUCAAUGUGUUAUUUUUGUUCAUUUAGCACACAUUAAAGGACUUCAUGUGAUAAAUAUAAUAAUCAAUAUAAUUGAAUACAAUUUUACAAACUUUAGUUUACUUUUUCCUGUAAAUAAUUGGAUUUUUUUUAACCUUUUGUUAGGGUAAAGGGGAAAACAAGUAUACCAUCGUAAAGUUAUGUACGAUUAUAAAGCACAAUUAAAUAUUUUUGAACAAGUAAAAUGUAUUUUAUGUUAAUUACUAAUGAAGUUAACUACACCUCACAUAAUACGACCAAGCAGAGAUUAAAAAAGCAAUCUAUUGAAGGAACAUUGCCUCAAAACAUGAACAAAAACAUGUUAUAAUUUUUUUUUUCAUAUACUCUUAUGAAUGGCCAAAUGAAUUAUAAAGAAGUUUUUUAGCAAUAACAAACAUACUUCACAUUGUUGUAAGAAAAUUGAUAACUGGUGAAUAAAUUGGUUACCACGUUGCACUUAACUCUUAUAUUGGACAAGUAAUUUAGUGAUUGCAGUGCUUUAACAUCUAAUAUGUGUUUAUUUUAGAAUUUUAUGCUUUUAAGUGUUUUUAGUAUUUUGGAACUAGUAAUGCUUGUUUAUGAUGUUUGAUGAUGUAGGUUAAGGAAUUAAUUUUUGAAAACAUCACAGCGAAAUAAUAAUAUCAUUGCAUCUCAUCAACAUGCAUUAAAGAUGUAUAAAGCUCCAAAGCAAUUAAUUUUUGAUGAUGUAGGUUUUAGGACUUUGGAAUUAACAUGCAUAAUUAAUUUUUCAAAACAUCACAGCGAAAUAAUAAUAUCAUUGCAUCUCAUCAACAUCUAAACAAAACCUCCAAAGUAGCUCCAAACUAAGAAUCUCGAAAAGUCAUAGAAUCUAUAUAACAGACAGAUACACUAAUUAGAGGCGACACACUAAGAAUCUGAAAGCAAACGACGAGGUAGCUCCAAAGCUAGCCUCCGGCAACUCACCAAGUAAAACAAAUCUACUCAUCCAUACAAAUAAGGUAGGUAGUCAACCAAAUGACCACUGGGUCAAUUCACAUUUCGCAAUUAAAGUAUAAACAAAUGAAAAUGAACGACUUAAUUAAAUUCAAUUGAUUAAACAACACUUAAGCAGCUGAACAUCAUUAAUAAUCAUCAAUCAUAUAAGUAUAAUACUACCUCCGUUUCUUUUUAAUUGUCACUUUUUGAAAUUUUACACAAAACAAGACAAUUAAUAAAUCUUACUACUUUUGAUACAAUUGUUUUUACUUUUACUAUAAAGACCUUGCUAAUUUAAUAUUUCAAUUCAUAUGUUUCUCUCUCUGCAAUAAAUAUCUAAGGGUAAUAUUGGUAAAACAUCAUUUAAUGUUACAUUGAACUUUGAAAGUGACAGUUAAUUAGGAACAAAUUUUUUCUCUAAAAGUGACAGUUAAAAAAGAACGGAGGGAGUAAUACACAAGUACAUUUUCAACAUCAUCACAUAUUCACCAAGCACGUGAUUCACCAAGUUCACCAAUGCACAUAAAUCACCAAGGUUCACCAAGCACAUAAACAAAUACGACACAUUUAAUCAAUUAUCAUAUGUAUGUAAUGCGCCUAAACACGACUCUAUAUGCAUGUGCUACUGGUCAUCAUCAAGGUCGUCACCUCAAAAUACAAAUGUAUCAUAGUCAUCAUCAUUUGAACGUAUUCAAGUCGUCUUCGUUGGAUAUAAUAUCAUAGCCGUCUUCAUUGGAUAUAAAUAUCAUACUUAUGAAUGCAUGAACAUACGACUCAACAAUGCAUACAUUCAAUAACAAAUCCUCAUCAUUUUCUUCUUAAUUUUUCAUACAUGCAUUCGUCAUCAAUAACGUCGUCAUUUUGCAUGUAAUGAUUCAUCAACAUAAAUCAUCCUCAUCAUAAUCAUUAUCAACAACAAUCAACUCAAGAACCAACAAAGUUCCAAAAUCACAUUUGCAUAAAAGACGGACAAUUAUCUACAUCAUGACAUUCAUCAAAUUAAACGACCACUCAUCGUGGAUUCAUUCUAAUUUUAUCAUAUCAUCAUGAAUAUAAAACCUCAUUUCAACAAAGUUAGUCUAUUUUCAUAAAAUCAACAAUAUUCAAUUUUACCAACCAAAUUAGGAUUCCAAGUUCUUACAUACCAUUAAGACAUCCCUACGUAUCAUCUAACAUCUUAGUUAAUCAAUCAUAACAAGUUCACUUCACAAAGUUCAACUAGUUCUCAAAAAUUGCAAAGUUCAAACUCAAUUCAUUUCUAGGUAAAAUCAGUUAAACCACUUUGAAACAACACUAAUUCAUGAUUACAUACUCAUUUAUUCACUAUAAAUACUUCCUUAAGCUGAAUAUUAUUUUUGAAAAUGUUUCAUGGUUUUGUGAAAAAGUUAUGAUAAAGUUUCAUGAAAAACUGACACAUGACCUAUGUGUAGUAAUUUGACCAUAAAUCAAAUUCUAGAAAACAUUUUGAAGCCACCCACUAAUUAUCACACAACCUAACCCUUCGUAUAAUAUAUUUUAGAAAACCCAAUCAAUCGAAUAGUAAGCCUUCACAAAUUCCAUUUUUAAAAUCAAGCAUUCACACAUUGACAUUUUUAUCAUAUCUACCACUUCGUUCACAACCAUCACCCCAUCCACCAAAUGUCUAUUCACAAAAAAAAACUGAUUGAGAGGUUAAAAUAAUAGAAUUCACCAUCUUUAACAGUCUUGCCACCAAAACCAUUGAGAAUAGCUUAUACAAACUACCAAAUACUUGACAUUCGGAAUAAAAGUCACAAAAUAGGACAAAAAAGUUUGUGAAAAUUUUUCAUUGACCAUAAAAUUGAUCAAACAUUAUCUGAAUUUCAUGUUUUAAAAAGUUCCAAAUGUCCUUGAAAAAAGUAUUAUUAAAACAAUGGAAGACCAAAAAAUAACAUCAAAACCGUCAAACCUUCAUACAUUUAAAAUUAUAAUGGCUAACGUGGUUCAUUAUAUUUACAAAUAAAAAAGUCACGUUGACUAAUAGGAUUAAGUUUUUUUUUUUUUUUUAUCUUAUAUGUUUAGGUACGCAAGUAGAAUAAUUGUUUAUUCCAACAGACACUUUCUUUAGAUAGAUGAAAGUUUUGUCCACGCGAGCUUAGCUCAGUUGGUUUGAACAAUGCAUAAUAUAUGUAAGAUCCAGAGCUCAAACCCUGAUCACCACAAAAAAAAGAUAGAUGAAAGCUUUAUAAAUUGAUUUAAAUCCAACGACAACGGAUGUGUUGGUUGUUGUGUAAGGUAAAAUAUUCUUUCUUACAAUUAGAGGUAGCGUUGGCAAUGAACCGAACCAACUCGAAAAUAGUUCGAUACUCGAUUCGACAAUUGGUUCGUUGAACUUGGUUCACACCAAAUGAGUCGAACUUGAGUUGUAAAUUAAGCUCGUUAAAUAAAUGAAUUGAACUUGAACUUAGUAUGGUUCGACUCGUCUGGUUCAUGAACAAGCUCGACAUAUAUACAUACACAAUUUUUUAUAUAAUAUAGGAUUUCUUACAAACUUCUUCUAAUAAUUAUGCACUUUUUUCAUAUAAAAUAUUACUAAUUGCUAAUUUAAUAAAAAUCAAUGAUAAUUGUAAUACUAGAAAGGGGGAAAAAAGUUAAUGCUUUCACAAGGCUUUAAAAUAAAGUUGCGCAUAAAAAUUGUCCCACAUCGAGGAGUUUUGCAAAAGAUUAGAGAGGAGGAGUAUAUAUAUACAAGCGGUGCAUUAUAAGUGCAACAUAUAAAACUAAUAGUGGUAGUAUAUGCUACAGUAACAGUAAAUAUAAAGUGCUGCUACCUUUCUAAAGGUUUUGCAUUAUAUUAUUGUUGUUUUAAAGGUUUUGUUUUUUCAGGUCAAAGACAUAUAUUUUUGACAAAAAAAACUUUUUUUUGAAAUAUGCAAUUUGAGCAAAUGAGGUGAACCUAAUGAGUCGAACCGAGUGGUUCAUGAACUUUAAACAAGCCGAACUCGAGCUAAAAAAAAGGUUCGUUUGAAACUCGAGCCGAACCAAUUCUUAUUGAGUUGAGUCGAGCUCAGACAGUUUCGAUUUGACUCGACUCAUUUUCAGCCUUAGGUGGACAACUGUCGGAUUCGAUCUUAAAACCUUGAUCCGAAGGACACUUGUGGGUGGUAAAAAGGAACCCACCAGCUCUGACCAUUAGUUCAUGGGCUAGGACGGAUUUUAGGUUGAGGAAAAAAGUGGGUCUGGUGGGCUGGUAGCUUUGGUUUAUUCUUGUCGUCAUCUUCAAAUUUUAUGCAAGAUCAGACAAACAAAGCAGAAUGGCAGUCGAAUCAUAUGCUUGUAGUAGUGUGGUGGUCGUGGAAUAGAUUAAACGGAGGACCAAAUGUUAAUUUUGUUAUGAGUAACAUAUAUUUAUGAGUUAAAUUUUGUUCCCCAAUUUUGUAGGAAAAUUUGUAGCAUUACAAGAACCUCCACCAUAACUUUAGAGUUUUAAUACGAGUGAUAAAUUAGUUAUGAAUUUCUUUAAAAAAAAUUAUAAUUAAUAAUUAUAAUUAAUUUGUCUUUAAUCGUGGUGGAGUUUAUUAUGAUGAUUCAAACAUGCUUAUAAAAUUGGUAGCGAAAAUUGAUCUGUCAGUAUAUGCUUACUCAAAAUAAAAUUGUAAUUUUGCACAUUUUGAUCGAAAAAUCAAAAUAACUCAAGGUCUCUUAAGAAUUUUUUUUUUUUUGUUUACGGGGUCUCUUAAGAAUGUUGUGAUACUUUAGAGAUCCUUCAUAUGUAUUUCUAUAGAUGACUCGGCAAAAAAAAAAAAAAACUUAAAAUUUGAUUUCUAGAUUGAUGUUUUCGUUGUUUUAGUUUUGGAGAUUUUGACGCGAAAAUAAAAUUUGUUUAUGAUUCAUAUAUAUUUCUAUAGAUCCUUCAUAUUUCAGCUUCUUAAUUCAUUUAUUACUAAAAAAAUGAAAUUUGUUGAGUUAGAAAAUAAAAUAUUUAUGAUUCAACCAAAAUUAGUUUUGGAAAAAAUAUAUAUAUUCCCACAUCUUAAAAAAAAAAACACUACCAGGUGUGAUUGGACUGUUAUAUGACCAAAAUAGAAUCUGUUGAUAUUGGCUUCAAAUUUGUGGUCUGGAAGAACAGAGAAAUCGUGACACGAUUUUGGCAUCGUGACACGAUUUCAAGUGGCCGUGAGCUAGUUUGCAGGACGCCAAAUCGUGGCACGAUCUUGGGAAAUCGUGACACGAUUCAGAAACUUGCUCGUUAAGUAUCACUGAUAAGGACUUGUCUACCUUGGGUCCGUUGCAGAUCGUGACACGAUCUAGGGAAAUCGUGGCACAAUUUCUUCAGAGGAAGACUAGUAUAUAUUGUGUUCUUCUGCUUUUUUGAAGUGAAUCUUAAGAGAGCUUGUAUGAGCUUAGAGAGAGAACUUGGAUAGCAAAGGAGGGAACCAAUGGGUUGAGUGUCUUUGUUGAGAGUGUCUCUUGGGUUUGGGAAAACAUUGUAAUCACCUUGGGUUUUAGGGUUCAUAGUGUGAGAGUGGGGAAACACCAAAGGGUAGAGUCUAGGGUUUGUUCAUGUGUAAAGCUUGAAGGCUAGAGUUCUUCUAACCUUUUGUAACACUUUCUCAUAUUGGAUUGGAGAGCUGCUCUCUCCCCCAGAUUAGGCCAUAUUGGCUGAACUGGGUCAACAAUCUUCUCGGUGUUUUGUUCUUCCUUUUACCGCUUAUCUUGUUUUGCUUUGGUAUCUCUUUGUGUGGUUUUGCUAUACACUAGUCUAGGGCUGUUUUGUUGUUGUUUGCUUGGAGACCAUUUGUUCUCAUUGAUUACCACUAUCUCUUGCUCCACACAUCAUUGUUUAUUUCAUUGGUGUGAAGGUUUUUUUUUUGAACCGGAUUCACAACAAUUGGCGCCCACUGUGGGGCAUAGGCGUAUUUGAUAGUUGGUAUCAUGGGGUCAAAGUGGGACAUCAAGAAGUUCACCGGAAGUAAUGAUUUCGGGUUGUGGAAGGUUAAGAUGCAAGCGGUUUUGACACAACAAAAGUGUGUAGAAGCAUUGAAGGGUGAAGCGGCGAUGCCGGCAACCUUGACACAAGAGGAGAAGCGUGAGAUGGUAGACAAGGCAAAGAGUGUCAUUGUCUUAUGUCUCGGAGAUAAGGUCUUAAGGGAUGUCGCGAGAGAAGCUACCGCGGCAUCGAUGUGGGCGAAGUUGGAGUCAUUGUAUAUGACGAAAUCUUUGGCUCAUAGGCAACUCUUGAAGCAACAACUCUAUUCAUUCAAGAUGGUGGAGUCUAAAUCAAUCUCGGAGCAACUUACGGAGUUUAACAAGAUUCUUGAUGAUUUGGCCAACAUUGAAGUUAACAUGGAAGAUGAGGAUAAGGCUUUGUUGUUACUUUGUUCAUUACCAAAGUCCUUUGAGCAUUUCAAGGAUACCAUCCUUUAUGGUAAGGAGGGCACUACUACUUUGGAGGAGGUCCAAGCGGCUUUGAGAACCAAGGAAUUGACCAAGUUCAAUGACAUGAAGGUUGAUGAAGGUACUGAAGGCUUGAAUGUUACAAGAGGGAGGAAUGAGCAUAGAGGAAAAGGCAAAGGGAAAUCAAGAUCCAAGUCUAGGUCCAAGGGCUUUGACAAAUCAAAGUAUAAAUGCUUUCUUUGUCACAAGCAAGGUCAUUUCAAGAAAGAUUGUCCGGAUAAGGGGGGCGAUGGUAGUCCCUCGGUUCAAGUUACGGAGACUUCAAAUGAAGAAGGUUAUGAGAGUGAGGGUGCACUAGUGGUAACAAGUUGGGAACCGGAGAAGAGCUGGGUUUUGGACUCGGGAUGCUCUUAUCACAUGUGUCCUAGAAAGGAAUAUUUUGAGACUUUGAUUCUAAAAGAAGGAGGAGUUGUUUGACUCGGAAAUAACAAAGCUUGCAAAGUCCAAGGCAUGGGCAACGUUCGUCUAAAGAUGUUUGAUGGCCGUGAAUUCCUUUUAAGGGAUGUGAGGUUUGUUCCCGAACUUAAGCGUAAUUUAAUUUCCCUAAGCAUGUUUGAUAAUCUAGGUUAUUGCACUAGAAUAGAGCAUGGGGUUUGUAAAAUUUCGCAUGGUGCAUUGAUUACGGUUAAGGGGUCUAGAAUGAAUGGUUUAUACAUUUUAGAUGGUUCCAUAGUAAUUGGUAAUGCAUCGGUAGCUAGUGUUGCAUCUCAUAAUAAUUCUGAAUUGUGGCAUUUGAGAUUGGGGCAUGUUAGUGAGAGGGGUUUAGUUGAACUAGCUAAACAAGGUUUGCUAGGGAAAGAUAAAUUGAACAAGCUAGAAUUUUGUGAGCAUUGCAUACUAGGCAAACAACAUAGGGUGAAGUUUGGAAGUGGCAUGCAUCAUUCUAGUAGGCCUUUUGAGUAUGUGCAUUCGGAUCUUUGGGGUCCUUCUAAGACUCCUACUCAUGGGGGAGGUUUCUAUUUUCUUUCUAUCAUUGAUGAUUAUUCUAGGAGAGUGUGGGUCUUUUUGAAAAACAAAAGUGAUACCUUUGAAAAGUUCAAAGAAUGGCACACUCUCAUAGAAAAUCAAAUGGGAACUAAACUAAAAGGUUUAAGAACUGACAAUGGCCUGGAGUUUGUUUCAGAGCAGUUUAAUGAGUUUUGCAGGUUGAAAGGAAUCAAGAGGCAUAGAACCGUACCAAGAACACCGCAACAAAAUGGUCUUGCGGAACGCAUGAACAGGACUCUUUUGGAGCGUGUGAGGUGUAUGAUUCUAGGAGACGGGUUACCGAUGAGUUUCUGGGGUGAAGCCGUGACAACGACUGCUUAUUUGAUCAAUAGAUGUCCAUCAACGGGAAUAGACUUCAAGACACCUAUGGAGGUAUGGAGUGGGAAACCGGCAGAUUACUCCUCUUUGAAGGUUUUCGGAGCUUUGGCAUAUGCGCAUAUCAAGCAAGACAAGCUUGAGCCUAGAGCUUUGAAAUGUGUCUUCAUUGGUUAUCCGGAAGGUGUGAAGGGGUACAAGUUGUGGAAAUUGGAAUCUAGUGGAGGAUCAAGAGUCUUGAUAAGUAGGGAUGUUACCUUUGAUGAGACCCGUAUGGGGAUGAAGUGUAAAGACCUAGAGACCCAAGUACCGGAAACUAUGGUGGAGAAAACUCAAUUUGAGGUGGAGCUUCCAAAUGAAGAAGAAAAAGAUGUAGAAGAUGAAGCUUCGACAUCGGAUACAAGUGGAACUCAACCGGUAGUGGAUCCUGAGUAUCUAUUGGCUAGAGAUAGAGAAAGAAGGACCAUUACGGCUCCUAAGAGAUUCGGUUAUGCAGACUUGGUGUGUUUUGCUCUAAAUGCGGCGGAAGAUGUGCAAGACUCGGAGCCUAGAAACUUCAAGGAGGCAUUUGAGAGCAAAGAAAGCAAGUAUUGGUCGAAGGCGGUGAAUGAAGAGAUGGAUUCAUUGGAAAGGAACCAAACUUGGAAACUUGUGAAGCUACCUAAUCACCAAAGGGUAGUUGGAUGCAAGUGGAUCUUCAAGAAAAAGGAUGGCAUUCCGGGUGUUGAAGGUCCAAGGUACAAAGCAAGACUUGUGGCAAAGGGUUUCACUCAAGUGGAGGGGAUCGACUACAACGAGAUCUUUUCACCAGUGGUGAAGCAUUGUUCCAUAAGGAUACUUAUGGCUAUUGUGAAUCAAUUCAAUCUUGAGUUGGAACAAAUGGAUGUGAAGACCGCUUUCUUACAUGGUGACCUUGAAGAGACAAUCUACAUGGAGCAACUAGAAGGUUUUGUGGAGGACAAGUCUAAGGUGUGUCUUUUGAAGACCGGUUUUGUGAGAAGCGGAUAUGAUUCUUGUGUGUACAUGUUGGAAAAGAGUGAGAAAGUCAUUCUCUAUCUUCUUUUAUAUGUGGAUGAUAUCUUGAUGGCAAGCUCUAGCAAGGAUGAGAUUAUGAAGCUCAAGGAGAGGUUAAAUGGUGAAUUUGAGAUGAAAGAUCUUGGUCCGGCAAAGAGAGUUCUUGGGAUUGAUAUCGUGAGGAAUCGUGACAAAGGCAAACUUUUCUUAUCUCAACUUGGUUAUUUGAAGAAGGUGGUGGAGCAUUUUAGAAUGUCAAACUCUAAAACCGUGAGCACUCCCUUGGGUCACCACACAAAGUUUUCCAUACAACAAUGUCCUCAAUCCGAGGAUGAGAAGCAAUUGAUGGAAGGUACUCCCUAUGCAAGUGGGGUUGAAAGCAUCAUGUAUGGAAUGGUUUGUAGUAGGCCGGACUUAGCUUAUGCGGUUAGCAUUGUGAGUCGGUUUAUGGCAAAUCCGGGAAUUGUGCAUUGGCAAGCUUUGAAGUGGGUAUUGAGGUAUUUGAAUGGGUCCUUGAAGGGUGGUUUGAAGUACACAAGGGCAGCUCAAGAUGAAGACGCUUUGGAGGGGUAUGUUGAUGCGGAUUAUGCGGGCAACGUGGACACUAGAAAAUCCUUAUCGGGUUUUGUGUUUACUCUUUAUGGCACGGCUAUUAGUUGGAAGGCAAAUCAACAAUCUGUGGUGGCAUUAUCUACAACUCAAGCGGAGUACAUCGCACUUGUUGAAGGUGUGAAGGAGGCUAUAUGGUUGAAAGGGAUGAUUGGUGAGUUAGGAAUUACUCAAGAAUGUGUGAAGAUACAUUGUGAUAGUCAAAGUGCCAUUCACUUGGCAAAUCAUCAAGUGUAUCAUGAAAGGACAAAGCACAUUGACAUUCGCCUGCACUUUGUUAGAGACAUGAUUGAAUCAAAAGAGAUUGUAGUUGAGAAAGUGGCAUCGGAGGAGAAUCCGGCGGAUGUGUUCACCAAGUCAUUGCCUAGAUCAAGAUUCAAGCAUUGCUUGGACUUGAUCAAAUUUGUCGAAGAGUAAUUCCCUUUUGGAGAGAGCAGCAUGGUGGUUGAUGGUUAAACUGACAUCACCACCAAAUUAGAAGUCAAGGUGGAGAAAUGUUGAUAUUGGCUUCAAAUUUGUGGUCUGGAAGAACAGAGAAAUCGUGACACGAUUUUGGCAUCGUGACACGAUUUCAAGUGGCCGUGAGCUCGUUUGCAGGACGCCAAAUCGUGGCACGAUCUUGGGAAAUCGUGACACGAUUCAGAAACUUGCUCGUUAAGUAUCACUGAUAAGGACUUGUCUACCUUGGGUCCGUUGCAGAUCGUGACACGAUCUAGGGAAAUCGUGGCACGAUUUCUUCAGAGGAAGACUAGUAUAUAUUGUGUUCUUGUGCUUUUUUGAAGUGAAUCUUAAGAGAGCUUGUAUGAGCUUAGAGAGAGAACUUGGAUAGCAAAGGAGGGAACCAAUGGGUUGAGUGUCUUUGUUGAGAGUGUCUCUUGGGUUUGGGAAAACAUUGUAAUCACCUUGGGUUUUAGGGUUCAUAGUGUGAGAGUGGGGAAACACCAAAGGGUAGAGUCUAGGGUUUGUUCAUGUGUAAAGCUUGAAGGCUAGAGUUCUUCUAACCUUUUGUAACACUUUCUCAUAUUGGAUUGGAGAGCUGCUCUCUCCCCCAGAUUAGGCCAUAUUGGCUGAACUGGGUUAACAAUCUUCUCGGUGUUUUGUUCUUCCUUUUACCGCUUAUCUUGUUUUGCUUUGGUAUCUCUUUGUGUGGUUUUGCUAUACACUAGUCUAGGGCUGUUUUGUUGUUGUUUGCUUGGAGACCAUUUGUUCUCAUUGAUUACCACUAUCUCUUGCUCCACACAUCAUUGUUUAUUUCAUUGGUGUGAAGGUUUUUUUUUUAACCGGAUUCACAACAGAAUCUGUAUUAAUUUUUACAUGGUCAAUUUUAAAACUUCGCGUAUAUUACAUGAGCUAUUUGAAUAAUUAAUUCUAGCUAUAAUUAUUUUUUGACGAAAAAAUAAGUGAUAUUCAUUUAUUAAAUUCGAUAGAGUACUUUGGUACAAUACAAAUUUAAAGUUGCUAAAAAUUAAAAUGAUGAAUCUUUGAAGCAACUUACGAUAUCCAUGUCAAUAUAGCAUAACACGACAGAGUACAUAUGUCUACAAAUAUAACUAUAUUCAACUCUUUGUAAUACUCAUUUUUCCAAAUUUGCAACGUCAACCAUGAAGUCAUUAAUUGAAUCUGCAUUUUAUCAACUAAUUAACGAAUUUUAUCCACGAAUAUAUAUAUAUAUAUAUAUAUAUAUAUAUAUAUAUAUAUUAUUCAUCUCUAAUAGGCAUGGCAUGGCAUUGGGGCGGGGUGAGGACGAGUUUUAUAUUCCCCGUCCCCAUACCCGAUUCACAUAUACUUGCCCGUUACCCUACUCAUAUCCAACGGGGAUGAGAAAUUGAACCACAUCCCCGUUCCCGACGGGUUCGGGUAUUCCCGCUUCAUCUCCAUCCCCGCAUUGAAUAAUUUUUUUGAAUAAAAAAAUAUAAGUUUUAUUGCAACCCCUAGAGAAAUGAUGUAAUGUAUUAUCCAACAAUAUGUUCACUUUUAACAUUUGUUAGACCGAUUGAUUUAGUUGCUUUCCUUUAAAUAUCAAUGGUAGUUUUUAUAACACGACAGUUAUCAAACAAAAUAACAUGACAUAUUAAUGGUAAUUUUCUGCAUUCGGGACGGGUUUGGUUAUGAGUUUGGGAUGGAUACCUAUAUACUCGUUAUCCGUCCUAUACCCGUGUUAUAAAUUUGGGAAAAACCCAAACCCAAUCAAAACGAGGAAAAUUCGUCAUCCAAAUAGAUUUGAUUCGAGUGAGUAACCACGGAUAUGAAUUUUGUUGCCAUGUCUAAUCUCUAAGCCUACUAGGGAGAAUUAUCAAAUCUCAAAACCAAGUCAUAUUCAAACAUUUAACACAUAAUAACAUUGUCCUUUAUUUAUUCAUGAUAUAAGAAACGUGGCCACCAUGUAAUCAUUUACUUCGGAAAUCAUAUUUUAUUUAUGGAAAAUGAUUAUAAAAAUUUCAUUCUCUCUUAUAUUCUUUUCUGAGAGUUCCCCAUUCACAUUGCUUCAUUAAAAUAUAUAUUUAUGGUCAACGAUUCAAAAUGAGAGUUCCACUAGCUUAUCUGUUUUCUUGAGAUAAAACUAAUCGAAAUAGAAAAAAGUCUAACACUUUGUGAAAAAAAUGGGAGAAACCAUUUCUGAAGCUUCAUCCUCAGAAUCUAAAUUGAAGAAUCAAGAAGAUAGUUUCUACCUUUAUAUACAUCCUCAAGAGUUACACUUUCCACGUAAUUAAGCCUCUUCAAUUUUCAAAAACCAACAAAAUUAAAUAAGAAGUUUCUAGUUUCUAAUUCAUUUUUCAUUCUGUGUCUUGUUUCUAGUUUUAAAUUCUAAUAGUUUUUAACAUUUGCUUGGUUUCUGUGGAUCAGUUGAGUUGAAGAAAAAUAUCUCAUGCUCUUUGCAGUUGUGGAACAAGUCAGAUAAUUAUUUGGCUUUCAAGGUAAUGAUUUUCAUUUUCGUUUGUUAGAAAAUGAUAACUUGUGCAUUUAAAAAAUAAGUUAAGAAACUAAAUAUAGAAGUAUUUAUUGAAAAUGGGGUAUCUUAAAAAUUAAAAAAAUUAAAAAUUUUAUUAGUAAACUUAUCCUUUAAUUCUUUUUUUUAGCUUCUUAAGAUGUCCUUGUUUGUUUUAUAAAUUGAGUAUUGAUUAGGAAAAAUUGUAAUUUUGAUUUGGAUUGAAAUUGAUGGUGUUGCAACUUGCAGGUUAAGACUACAAUUCCUGAGAAAUAUUGUGUUAGGCCUAAUAUUGGAGUUCUGUUGCCUACGUCUAUUUCUGAUAUUACAGGUGAAAUAAUUUGCUUGAUUAUGUGAACAAUCAUUUGCUUACAAAAACACAAAGACAUGUAAAGAAGAAUAAUACUGCAUUUUUAUUACUGAAUACUUAUUUUAAGGUAUAUUUUCCUCCAAUCUCAAUUAUGAGAAAUUCUUGUGUAGGAACGAACCUAGCCUACCAUCCUUACAAACAACAAAUUAAAACAUGACACGUCGUUGUUUUUCCACCAUGAAUGGUGUUGGUGGUGAAUGGUGAUGGAAGAUCACAAACUAAUGGUGGUGGAGAGAGAGAAAGGACUAGUUGAUUUAUUUUUUUAUAAUUAUUUUAAAAGAAAACAACGACGUAGCAUGUUUUAAUUUGUUGUUUGUAAGGAUGAUAGGUUAGGUUCGUAGAAUUAAGAAGAUGAACAAAUUGUUAUCCUUAAGUUUGGUUGAAUAUGUACUCAUCAUCUAAUUAUUCAAUACGUUAUUAUAUUUUUUAAUUUACUAAUAUAAACAUAAAAAUAUUUUGAAAUUUUUUUGCAUAUGGGAUUGCUACUCAAAAAAAUUCAAGGUAUCUAAAAAUUCUUCCUAUAAUAGAUAAAACCAAAAAAAAUCCUUUAUUAAUUCAACUUUUUCCAUUUUUACAUAUAUCCUUAUAGAAAACUGAGAAAUGAUGAAAAUAAAUUAGGUCAAAUUUGACUUUACAAAACUCAAAUCCGACCUAAUCUAAAAGUUCAAGGUCUAGGUCUGGCUUAUAACAUGUCAUAGAUUUUUUAGUCUCAAAUCUGGUAUUUUUAAAAGUCUUGUAGGACUAUUUAAAAGUCUUGUAUGAAUAUAAUUAAAUAAGUAGUUUAAUCUAUUUUUUAGGACUAUUUAUCCUACUUAGUAUAAUUAAUAAGGUUCAUUUUUGGGUCGUGCCCAUUUUAGACAUUCCCUUUACAUGUUGACAUAAUGUUUACAUGUGAUUUGUUGUACAAUGUCAUGUAGUAUGUUCUUUCAUACUCACUUUUCUAACUAUGUAGAAUCCUUGUUUACUUAAUGAUUGUUUAUAGUUACAAUGCAAGCCCUAGAAGAGGCACCUCCUGACAUGCAAUUGAAAGAUAAAUUUAUCCUUCAAAGCAUAGUUGCAAGGCCUGGAUCAACCACUAAAGAUAUCACUUCAGAUAUGGUAGAGAUUAGAUAAUCACAAUAUAUAGUGUUUUUCACUUGCAUAUUUUAAUCGUUUUCUUUUCUCAUUGCAUGAAGUUUAAUAAAGAUUCCGGAUAUGAAGUUAAAGAGUCCAAAUUUAGAGCUGUUUGUGUUGCUCCUCCUCCUAAUUACCCACCAUCACCAGUUCAAGCAUCUGGCUCUUCAGAUCAGGUUUCUUUUUAUUUCAUUUUUUAGAAGUAGUUUACAAAUAAUUUCUAUGCAAUAUAAUAAGCGUGACUCAGAGUAAAUAAUAGGAAGAGAAAAACAUUAUUUUAUUGAAAAGCAUUUAUUUAUUUUUGUAUGUUAACCCUACGGUUCUCGAGGGAAAAGGACAGUAGUAAUUUGAAGUUCGUUCCUUAGUUAAGUAAAGUCUGACCAAUAAUAUUGUUCUACCUAGUAAUCGAACUCAGAUUCUCCUAAACAAUUCUUCGUUUAAUUAAACUCAUUAAUCAUUUGCGUCCAAUUAUUCAUUAAGAGCUGUAUGCUUCUAAAUGUAACUGAAAUAAGAAAUAAUUGUUGAGUAACAAACUCCGAAACUUUAACCACGGCUUUAUUUGAUGAUAAAAAACUGGAAUAUUAAAACAAACUCUACGAAAGACUUAGUCAACUGAUGAAGCUAUGAGUAACAACUACCAGUACUAUCAAUGAAGUGUACUUUGUGCUGUUGGAUCGGUAGUGUUGACUUUGGACUUUAGAGUGUGUUCUUCUUCGAGAUCACAUGCUCGAUUCUCCCUAGUGUCAGUUAAGGUAGGCUAAUUUAAUUUAGCUUCUUAAAAAAAAAGUGUACUUUGUGCCAUUAUGAGACCUUAAAACUUGGAUCACGCAGCCUUUUUUGUUUUCAAUCCAAUGCUUAAAUCUCCAAAAUACUCCUGCAACCUCUAACUAUGACUUGAAAAAAUAAAUCCAACACAUUUUGGUGUAAGUGGAGCAAAGGUUGGAUAUAAUAAGAGAGGGGACACAUAUGCUUGAUGUCUUAAAAUUUUGGGUAAAAGUGUAGUGUCUAAGCCUCUUAAUGGUCAUAGUCGUUUAGUCCAUUGCAGCUCCCAGCGCUCCGCAGACUCCUCAACAUUAUCUAGUCCAUUGUCACUCCUAGCACUCCCUAGACUCCCCAACACAAUCUACAAAGACGGUGUAAUAUUUCCUCUCUUUAAGUGAAGCAGUCUUUUGAGGUCCACCUUGGUUGUUGCUCUUUGUUUCUCUCAAGGUUGCUUGUUUGAAAGAUAAUCUUGCUUCUUGUAGAUGGGUGAUUCAUCAUCUAAGUCAGGUAAGACAUAAACCAACUCAUUUCGUUGCAAAUGGCCCAAUCUUUUGAGCCAUAUCUCCGUGUUAUCAAUAGUAACUUGAUAAGUUGCUAUCUUUUCCUUCAUUGGAUUAAAUGAGAAACGUUUGCUUCUCAUUUUAAUAUUGAAAAUUACCUUAUCAUUGGCAUCUUCGAUCAUACUAUGAUUAUUUUCAAAGAUGACUAUAAAUCCUUUCUCAUGUAAUUGACCCACACCUAGAAGGUUUUGAUCAAUCACAUGUACAUAAAAAAAUAUAAUUGCGACUCAUGUAGGGACUCACCUAGUUCUAGAAGCAAAGAUAUCCCACCUUGAUCUAGAAGGAUCUAAUAUAGUAACUCACUUGUGGGGUGUGCAUUUACCUAUAUAAGCAUCGGAGACCUUAUAAUGAAUCAAUGAACAAUUUCAGUGUUAUUUUAGUUUGUUAGAUAUGAACAGUCAUUAGAGUAAUUUAGUACUUGAUGAUAUUUAUCACCUAUCAAGUGGUGCUUUCAUUGCCAUGAAUUCCCCUCCCUACCAUUACUUCCACCACCAUCAAGAUUCAUUUCCAUUACCAAGAACGCAUCGACACCUAGAUCUCACCAACAUCCACACCACGUCACCAAAAUAUCUCUACCACCAACAACCUACAUUCCACAAUUAUACUCACACACAACCAUCACACCACACGUCUUAUAGCUUCCCCCAUAUCAACACUCUUAAUUCAGCAAUUUGCAUCCCUAACUUUUACCAAGAUCCUAGUUUCAGACACCACCAAUCGGUCAUGCUUUACAAUUUGUACACACCAUAUGCAAGUAUGUUUCUCCUCCAUCGUGAAAUUCUGGCACUCAGUAAAAAAUGUUAUACACAAUAUUAAGACAAGCGAGAUGUUAAGAAUAAUGUCAAGACAUUGUGACAACACAGAUAACAAACAAAAAUCAUGAAUAAUAAAAAUAGGAAGUAAAAGGCACAAGUUGUUUGUGAACCUACUUCAGUGCAACGUCACCUACGUCUCAGGGCUACCGACCGAAAAGGAAAUUCACUAUAAUAGUAUUAGGUUGAAGCGUACAUAAAAAUUAUCUCCAAUCUACUAGCUUUGCACUUAAUCACUACCCGAGCAAUUUCUAUUUGAGACUCUCCUAGAUAUGAGAUCCCCACUCAUUUCCUCUCAUCCACAGUCCCAGUCCCAGUUAUUGACUCAACAGUAACAACAGUAAUGGAGACACACUCCUAGACAAAGAAUCAACUCUUGCUUACAAGCUAUUGAGUGAUUCAGAGUUUACAACUCAAAUACAACUCAAUGUAUCAACGUGAUAGAGUGAGUCACAAAUAACAAGGACAGAAUAGCCCUCAAAUAUACUUUUGUGAAUUGCAGUUUCAGUAGUGAAUUAGGUCUUGAGUCUUCUUUUAUAUAGCCUGAAUGAAGAAUGGGUUUGAUGCACAAGUCGGCCCAAACAUCUGGCCGAACCACAUGGUCUUCAGCACAAAAUCUUGAAGAAGAUCAAAUGUUUCAUUAAAUGUUACAACAUGACAACUUAAGAAACACGUCACAGAUAGACCGCCUAACAUUGCUUCUAGAAAGCACACGUUUCUUGGUCCACUCUUCACGUGAAUCAUUAACUACGGAGAUUAUUCAAGGAUGUCACGUUUAAAAAUAAUCACCAAAAAAGCAGAGCAAUGCACGCGAUGAUAUCGUAUAAACAUGUCAAGACAUCUUGUUCGACAUCUUGCUAGAACUCUUAUUUUAACAAAAAAAUGCGGCCAACAUACUCGAUAAACCUAUAACACAUCGAAUUAUGGAUAUUCAGCUCAUAACCACCAAUAUCCAGAUCAACCACAUAAUACUUAUUCCCAAUCUAUUAUCCAAAAUUCUAUGAAUGAAUUAUCUCAAUCUUAAAAAAAAUUCUGCAAAUGAAGUGAGAGAGUUAAACCAAGCUUCACAUCAGUGGUUCAUGAAAUUUUGGAGUUACUAAACAAGUUGAAUGAACUUUUAUUUGAAGAGUCUGCUGAGAAAAAUGAGCAAAAUCAAGAGAAAUCAACAGAAGCAAUUGAGGCAGUUGUAGUCCAAGCACCGCCACCAAAAUUUGAUUUGCAACUAUCCCAACCAUGGCAGAAGUAACGAAUCUAAAUCAAAGUCUGUUGGAGCCACCACCCAUCAACCUGUUUCCGAGGCUACCGGUGACACCACUGGAUCUUCCUAUAUCCGCGUCUACGCAUAUACCUUCGUCAUCGUUGAAGCAACUACCACCGCCAAAGCCACUGGUUCCGAAAUCUCAUUGUUGUCAUAACCACCGUCCACCGGUUCACUGCCGUGACCACCGUCGAAACUGCCGGAUAUGCAAUCACAACUAUCAGGUUUUCUAUUCUUAAAAGAGAUUUUCGUGAUUUGUUUCAUAUCCUAAUUUUUUGGUUCGAGAGGAUUCAAUUUGAUGUAUUGAUUUUUGCUUCAAAUAUGGUCCCUUUGCUUACUUUUAUGGUCACCUUGGCACAAUACAUUUGGUUAAUGUUAAGGACUUUGAUCUCUAUGCACCUUCCAUGAAUUAUGCUGUUGCUGAAAUUUAUUUAUUGGAUGGGAAUCUUUGCAAAUAUGAUGCUAGUAAUUGGUUAGCUUAUCUAGUUAAUUGCGACGACUCUAUUUUUGAUUGAAGCUAAAUUCUCUAAUUUGAAGCCAUGGAGUGGUGGCCUUGUUCUUAAGCUAAUUCUCUAAUUUGAUCUCUAAGUGCAUCAUGUUAUACGAGAUGAGGCAGGAAAUCAUCAAUGAGUUUCUUAUUUCUUUUGUGCCCACUACAAACAAUUGGAUCCUGGUCAACAUUUGUGUGUGUCUUUAACAAAAAGGUCUUCUAAGAGCAAGCAAUGGAAUCCUGAAAAAUUAACCAAUUUUUUUACAACCUUGAGGACAAGGUUGAUAUUGAAGGGUAGGUAAUGAUAGGAUAAUUAAAAUAAUGAGCACUCAUGUGGUGACUUACCAAGUUUUAGAAGCAAAAAUACUCACCCUUGAACUUGAAGGAUCUAACAGAGAUAGUAAUAUUGAGUAUGUUAAGGUGUACUCAUCUUAUUGUAGGUGUGUAUUUACCUAUAUAAGCAUUGUAAGACCUUAUAAUGAUACAAUAAAAAAUUUCAAUAUUAUUUUAGAGAUAGAAGUAGUUAGAGUUAUUUAGUUGUGUGGGUCAAUAUCUUUAUAAUAUAUAAUUUAUAUCAACUAUUUAUCAAUUUAGAGCCUUAAGACUAAUUAUAUUUCUAUUGGGAUAAUUAAUUAUUUAAUUGAAGUGAUAUGGACUCUAUGAGUGGAUGUCUGGAUGACCAAUUAACGGGAUAAUGGAAACCUUAAUGACCAUCACACUAUAAGAGGCUAUGAUUCCCAAUACAUUGUACACGACAAACUCUUUGUUCUUCCCAUUUGAAUCUAAAGAGAACUUGAAACAUAAAUGUAAGAACCAAAAGGUCGCCGCUAACCCUAUGUUGUAUGUUUCAGAUCUCUGUCUAUUUAAGAUCAUUGCUAGUGAGAGGGCCAUCAAAGUUCCAGGUAUUAUAAUACUUAUUAUUAAUAUACUUGAUAAAUCAAACAUGUCGUAAAUCCGAGCAUAAUCAUAUUCAAUGUUCUGUUUGCUUCGACUAUUCAUUCAUAAUCAUUGAACAUGUUUUUAUAUAAAAUCUGUUUUCAUUUCUAACAUUAGGAGGCCAUAAUCACAUUCAAAAUGUAUUUCGAAAAUGAAAUGCAUAAUUCUCCAUGUUUUCUUAGUUUAUAUAUUGAUUUAUAUUACUAUGCUGGCCUUUGAACAUGAUCUUGUUGAAAUACAUUAAUUUUCUUUUCUAUUUAAGCAAGUUAUUUGGGAAUGUCACCCAUAUAAGCUGAUUGAAGUUGAUAGAUUCAUGUCAUUAAUUUACAUUCUGAAAAAUAACUUCUUCACAAACCCCAUGUCCCUAUAGACCUUAUCUUCAUGUAUCGAACAUUAUCGAAAAGAUUUGAAUUGUGAAAUAUUAUAGCUCAUUUUUUAUUUCUUGUUAUUUUAGGCAAAGCCAAAUAUUUCAGAGUUAAUCGCAGAGAGAGAAUUUCUUAAGGAAUUAUAUAAAAGGCAUCAAGAAGAACUGGUAUGCCAUUCAUACCAUGAUCAUAGUUUGGUGAUCUUGAAUAUUUUGUCGUGUGAUCUUGAAUAUUUGUCAUGCGAUAAAUUUAUUCAACUAUUUACAUAAACUUAAUUAUUUUUUUUUAUUAAGAAGUUUAAUGGCUAGAAAUUUACCUUGAAGUGUCUGAGAGUCGAACCCCUUAGAACAUAAAUUGUGUUCUUAUAUGUAGCAGAAAUGCUUAUCCAAAUAAACUAUUUUAGCAAGAUGACAGAAAUAGAAAAAUAAAGUUGUAAAACUGAAAGAGAAGAAUAGAGAUUAUGCUUGCAAUGUGAAUCACAUUAAUAUUAUAUCUAACCAAUGAUGUAUUCAUAUUCUAAUACUUCCCCUUAAUUCAUAACUGCUGAAUGUUCACAACACCAAGUUUUUUCCUCAAAAAUUCAAAUAUGUCAAGCUUCAAAGUCUUUGUAAAGCCAUCUGCAAGCUGCAAUUAUGUAGGACAAUACUGCAACUCAAUCAUACCAUUAGUCACCUGCUUCCAAAUGAAACGAAAUCUAGUCUCAAUAUGUUUGCUUCUACCAUGAGAGAUGGGAUUCUUGACAAGACUUAUGGCUGACUUGUUGUCAAUUCUCAGUGUUAAGAGGCUUCAUCACUUCACACUUAAUCUCUUUCAUUGAUGAAUCCAACCACAAAGCUUGACAUCACUACUAAAAAAAGCAAAAUUAGCGAGGGAAAUUAGUGACGGAAAAAAUGAAAUUCCUCACAAAUUUCUUGGUCGCAAAAUUUAGUGACGGAAUUAGAGAGAAAUUUUACGUUUUCCCUCACAAACUUUUGUUGUUUUAGUAGUGCAUGUAGCAAAUGUACCUGCAAUGUACUCAGAUUCACAUGAUGAGAGCGCAAUAACAGGUUGGCUUUUUGUAAGUUUGAUCAUCCUAAGUUAGUUAGUUAUAACUAACCAACAAGAUAACUUGCAAGUUAUCUAUCUAACUAAUGCUUAUCAUCUAAUUCUUCAUGAUGCAAUACAAGCCUCGCACAGAACAAGCCUACAAGUAUAUAGUGUUGAUCUUAACCCAAUUAAUUAUGAUAACCAUUACUCUUUCUAGAAUUAUACUAUAGUACUAAUUUACAUUACUGUAAUGGCCUUUGAUAAUGAUGUUGUUGUAAUACAUUGAGUUUCUUUUCAGUUUAAGCAUAUUCUUUGGGAAUGUCCCCCAUAUUAUAUCUGACUAAAGUUGAUAGGUUCAUGUUAUUUAUUUACAUUAUUAACUCUGAUAUUUAAAAAUAACCCAUGGCCCUACAGAACUUAUUCAUGUCUAUUCAUUUAUGGAUUUCUAUUGAUAAGAUGUGAAUUCUGAAAUCACUACAAGAAAGAGUAAAAUUAACGAGGGAAAUUAGUGACGGAAAAAAUGAAAUUGCUCACAAAUUCCUUGGUCGCAAAAUUGAAUGACGGAAUUAGAGAGGGAUUUCACGUUUUCCCUCACUAAUUUUUAUUUUUUUAGCAGUGAAUAUUGUUGCUUAUUUUGAAUUUCUUAUUAUUUUAGGAGAGAAACGUUGUUAUUGAGAAAAAUAAAAAGCUUGAGCCCAAGAACUGGUAUGUCAUUCAUUUCGUAAAUUUUCUUUUCCGGAUGCUUAUGCAAAUUUUAUCUUUGAAUUUUUAGUCAGGUUAUAUUGAUUGUUAUCUUGAAAAAUUAUUGAUCGUUUAAAUCAUUUUCCUUGUCAGAAUACCCUGAUUGUGAAGUGUGAGGCCAAAGACGAUUGUUGUUGUAUAUUGUAGAUAUCUUGAUGAAAUUAUCAUGGUCGGUUAUGAGGUAUAAGACAUGUAAUAAUAUUAUUUUAAAAAUAAUAUAUACUCCCAACUCUAUAAAAUGAGUUUAUCUCUCUUCAAAAGAUAUAUGCUCAUUAAAUAAAGAGGAUCGUAACUCCAUAAUACGACAUAUAAUAUAACGAUUGUACUUGUUGAUUGGAUUACUCUUGAAGUUGCCAACAAAGUAAUAAAAAAUUGUGCUAUUUGUGUUGUUAUUUGUUCAAUCAAAAAGAUAUUGAAGGAACUAACAUAAAAGAUGGCAUCACAAUAUAAUUUUACAUCGUCGGUGUAUAUUAGAGCUUCAAGACUAUAAUGAGCAUAUUUGAUCUGGCUAGUUAUAUAUAAAUCUUAUUUUGUUAUAUCAAUGUCUUUAUAUCUAUAUUAACACCUACAUGAUAGUUUGAUUCUUUCUUUCGGAUACACCAUUAUGCUUCGGUGAAAUUAUUAAUUCACUUGUCUCUCCACACCUUUGUCUUCACAAAAUUUAUUGGACGUGUACUCUUUUUCACGGUAACUUCUCAAAAUUUUUAUGGAUUUGCAACAAAAUCGCAUCGUGAUUUUAUUGAACCUCUUAAAUAUAGCUUUUGCUCUACAAAUUGAAGAUAAAUUGUGAAAAUGCCCAAGAGCAUUGAGCUCCACUUCAAUAAAUGGGAGUUGAAGAGGAUAUUUUCCCUGAACAAUGGGUCAACAGGACACACUACUACUCUUGCUAGUAUUAGAGAAUCAUCAUCAAACAAACAGUCAAAGAGGGUGCAGUAAGCAAUGUGAAAAUGUAAAUAUGACACAAACAGUCAAAGAAAGUGAGUAACAGAACAAACUACAUUUAUACAACGGAUUUAGCUUGUCUAGAGUAAAUAAUUUACUAAAGAGGGUGCAGUAAGCAAUAACAGGUGCUGAUGAAAAAAUGGUGAAAAGAGAGGGGAAACCUAUAAUAUCACAAGUAGACCUAGGCAGCACAACUCCAAUGCAAGAAGGAUCAACAUAAUACUUCUGUGCAUUACCACAAGUAGACCUAACCUGCAACAACACCAUGAAUUUCACUCGAAAUCAAUUAGAACUCUCCAUAAUACACAAUUUCAAAAAACAAACAAAAAAGGUAAAAAAUUCAGAAAAAGUGAGUGAAAACAGAAACAUGAUUGAAGAUUAAACUAAUCAAAAAACCUUGAAAGCUACAUAAUGAUCUGACUUGUUAGACAGUAUCAAAGUGCAAGAUGACUCCUUCCUCAAUUCAACUGUUUCACAAAAAAUUAAAGACGAAUAUAUAUAUAUAUUUGAAGAUAAAUUAGUCCACCCAAAUUGACUCGAACCUCAGACCUCGAGCAGGAGCACACUACCAGAUCCCAAGCCAAUACCACCAGGCCAACCCAAGUGGGUUAUAUAUAUAUAAUUAAAAUAAGGCCCAGAAGCAAAAAGGCAAAAAAAAAAAAAAUAUUGAAUUUUGCUUCAAAAAAUUUAAUUUACAUGGAAAGUGAAGAUCUUGAGGAUGCAUCUGAAGAUAGAAACUAUCUUUUUCUUUUCAUUUUAAUUUCUCACAAUCCUGAGGAUGCUUUUGAAGAUUAAAACUAUCAUUAAGGUUGUGAAUUCAAUUUUUUAUAAUCCCCAUAAUUUGGAUAAACAGAAUUGGAAGAACAAGUAGAACGUUGGUGAAAGCAAGAAGAGACCCUUUGUCCCCAUUGUGUGUUUCAGAAAGUGUUGAUAGGGUUUACAAGAAUGAGGCUUUAGAGUUUGAAUGAGAAUAACGAAAAUUAUAGUGAGAUCAAGAGAAACAGCAUGGAAGGAUCCGUGACAAAAAUCCGUUGUAUGAGCACAUAUAACUAUUCUUCCAUUGCAAUAGAAUACAUGGGAAGUGUUAUUUGCAACAACUUGUUUAGGCAACAAGAUCUGUUAUAUAAGAUACUGUUGAUUCGGUCUCAUUAGAUGUUCAAAGAAUUUUUGUGAACGUACCUGGGUGUUUAGCUAGUAGCUUCUUCCAUUUCCCUUUGUUGUUCUUUUAGCAGUUGCGCUUUGUUAGUUUUAUUCUUGGAGGAUUUGCAUCCUCUUUUUGUUUUUAUGUAAGCACUUUUAUUGUUAAGGGUUCUGGCCCUCUCCAGGUCUUUUAUAGUAUUUCUUUGCUUGAUAAAAAAAAAGGGAAAUAAAGUUAAGUGGCCAAUUUAUAUAUGAUUUAUGCUCUUCUCCUGCACUUUUCGCUCGCACCCAGCUGAAAAUACUUUAAUUCCCUUGCGCUAGCUAACUGGCGCAAGUGUAAAAUAAUGCGCAAGUUAAGUUAAGUGGCGUGAGUUAAGAGGCGCAAAGUGGCUACUUUUUUUUAAUUUAUUUACUAUAUUCAAUAUUUAUUUACUUUAUUGUAAAUUAUUUUAUUUACUUUAUUCUAAAUUAUUUGUUCACUUUAUUCUAAAUUAUUUAUUUGCUAUAUUCUCAUUUAUUUAUGAACUUCAAAUAAAUUCGAAAUUAGAAAAUAAAUUUGAUUUUAUUCUAAUUCAAUAUUUAUUCUAAUUUUUUUAUUCAUUAAAUACAAAAUUAGAAAAUAAAUUUGAUUUUAUUUAUUCAAUGUUUAUUUAUUCGAUACAUAAUCAUAAACAUAAAAUAAAUGCAAAUAUAAAUACAAAUAAAAAACAAAAUUAUUAAAUAUAACUCGUUUUAUUAAUAUCAUUCAAACAUUACAAUAAUUAAUACAUAUAUCUUAUUUGAAUUCACUAAUCUACUUAUUAUCUUUUACCCUCUUGGGUAUAUUGCAAUAGCUCUUGGGAAAAAUAGUGACCAGUCCUGUUGGGGAAAAAGACAUCAAGAUCCCAUGAGGUAAAUUUAAAUUUGGUUCCUUUUAUACCCCCAUGAUGAUUCUUUUUACCCACGGUAAAAAGAUUUUGGGAGUAAAAGGAAGCAAACCUAAUUUUACCUCAAGGGAUGAUGUCUUUUUCCCUAACCCGACUGACCACUAUUUUCCCCAACAGCUACUACUAUAUACCUAAAGCGGUAAAAAGAGCCUAGAGACUAUAGAAGCAAAAAAGAAGAAGAGAAAGAGGGGGAGAGAGUGGGAGGAGAUAAUGUGAGGAAAAGAGGAAGUUUGUGAGGGUAUUUAUAGGUAGGAAUGAUAACCUAGUUUGUACCUACCAUAAAUGUGGUAAAAAAAAAGUGUGUGAAAGUGGUUAAAAACGUGUAAAUUGAAAGUUGAAAACCUGGCUAAAGUGAAGAAAAAAAACGUUUGUUCUUCAGUUCUGACUACCGGCCAACUUGCGUGAGUUAACUCGCGGAAGGCUCAGUGGUGCGUGACUUAAGUCACGCAGAGAUUAUAAGGUGUGUGAGUUAAGUCACGUAGUGUGACUUAACUCACGCACGGGCAUUUUAGGCAUGGUUGCAGGGCGCGAGUGUUUUGUGCAGGGGAAGAGCAAAAUUCUUUAUUAUUUAUUGCUUUGUACGCAAACGUUAUUAACCAACGGUGACUUCUUUGUAAGGUCCAACAUAAAAGGAAGAUUGAUAGUAUACAUGUGUGUUUUUCAUUGCUUUUUACUCUUCCUAUCCUAUCUACUUCUCACACACUCUAAUUUUUACAAAAAUGUAUGUGGGGUGUCGGAUUAUAAAAUCCGAACACAUCCAAACCGUGUUAAAUUAUUUUGUGAGUGAUCUCUUAUGUUUUAAAAAUCAACAAAGUGUAAAAUCGAAAGAAAAAGUGGUUGAAAAUUAAGAGAGUUCAUACUCGUAUGAAAAAGUUAAUUGCUAAAUAAUAAAUAGAAUUAACAGAGUUUAAACCGUGUUAAAUUAUAUGGGAAGUGAUUCUCAAUUUGAUAAUGAAAUAAAGGAGAAUAGUGUUUAGUUAAAAAAUAAAGGGUAUGUUUGUGUUAAUUAAGAAGACCUUAAGUGAGGUUAGUCUAAUUUGCCAUGAUUUUUUUUAAGAGUAAUUUCCCAUGAUAAAAGAGUUUCUAAAAGAGUUUUUCAGGAAAAGGCAUAGUAGUUGUAUUGUAGAUAAUGAUUGAUUGUACUUUCAUAACUAUAUUCAUGUAUAAACUAAUACAUCUCAAUGAUACUUAAUGAACAAGAAACAAUGUGUGCAAACACCGAGAGAAAUUAUGAGAUAUUGUCAUCUCAUAUAGAAGAUAACAUUAUCAACUCUGGUGAAAUAAUGUUCUCAUUAUGAAGAUGUUUAUUUCACUCGAAAUUAUUCUCGUUAUUUCAACAAAAUGAUUAGGAUUAAUUUUGAAGAGAAACCAAUUCAUGAAUAUUGAAUUAUUCAUUGAGUUAUUCAUUAAUGAUAUUGAUUGAAGAAUUAUCAAAGAUGAAAAUUCAUGAUCAUAUGCAUGGAGAUUCUAUCAUAAAAUACUUAGGAUGAUCCAAAAAAUUGCCCUAUUCAAAAUAUGAUUUGGAAGAAUAGAAAUCAAACAAAGCAAUUUUGACAUUGAGAAAGGUUUCUCAUAGAACAUUCUCGUCAUACAACAAUCAUUGCAAAGACGAUAAUCUUAAUAAUAAAUUACUUAAUCAGUUUGGUGCACUUUCCAAAUUUAUCAUCAUCUUUCAAAAUUUUGUUUGAACAGAGUAUUGUUUUCGAUUUUAGACAAAAUGGUUGACUUAAAACAGUAAAUACAAUUAAAAAAUAAGAUUUUUUUAGCUUUUUUGUACCUACAUUAUACACUGUAAAGAGAUAAAAUUAUCUUCUAUUUGAUUCAUGCAAAAAGAUUAAAUCAUACACUAAAAUUGGACAAAGUCUUCUAUUUCAAUUUUGAUGAUGUUAAAUUUGUGUUAUUUUCAAUGUACUUUAUCAAUUUUAGCAUAACUAAUAAACUCAUUAUUAUAGGUGUGGUGUGUCUCGAUUGCAUGUCAUCAUGGGAGUGAUACCUCCAAAUUUAUGAGAUAAGGAGAUCCUAUAAAUAAAACUCUUUGACAUCAUAUUUUAUUUCCAUCAUCUUAGAUUACAAAAUCAUAACUUUAAGGUCCUUGAAAUUAGGGGAAAAUAGAAGAAGAAAAUAAUAAUUAUUGAGUGCAUUCACAAAAACUAAAUGACAACAAGUGGAAUAUUCUAGCAUAAGGUAUAGUGUACAAUUCUUUUCCUAGAUAAAGAGAACUCAUUAUGAUGUUUUAGAUCGAUAUGCAUGCGCCUUUACGACACCUAACAUUAACUCAUCAAAGUUUUGAACAAUCUUUAUCAGUUUUACAAGCAAAAAUAGAUAUUGAUGUACAAAGAAAUAUAGAAAAAAUUAAAAUUAUAAAAUAAACUAACUUCGGAAUUUCAACCAUAUUUUUUCCUAUUUGCAUCCAAAUAAUAGUAAAUGACUCGAUCUCUUUAUAGUGUAUAUAAAGUUCAUGGUCUUAGAGAAAUAAUUAAAUAGUUUAAGAAUUAUAAAAUUUGAAAAGCCCUUUCAGAUUUUUAAAAUUAUUACUAAAUGUCUCUCAAAUAUAUCAUUGUGUUAUUUAUGUCCCUUUAGCACACCUAGGAAGGAGUUCAUGUAAUAAAAAUAAUAAUCAAUAUAACUGAAUACAAUUUUACACACUUUAGAAUACUUUUUCCUGUAAAUAAUUGUAUUAUUUUUUUAACAUUUUGUGAGAGUAAAGAGAAAAACAAUUAUAUCAUCAUAAAGUAUUGUACGGAUAUAAAGCACCAUGAGAUAUUUAUGAACAAGUAGAACGUAUGUUAUGAUCAUAAAAGUUAUGCUUAUAUAGUCACCUCUUAAUUGGGCUAGGUUUACAAUUAUCAUAAUGGGCUCAACAUCAUUACUAACCAAUUCUCAAAAGUUACUACUCACCUAAACCAUUAAAUUAUCGAAUAAUUAUUAUCUCUAAAUAAUUACUCCAACUCACUAGUAACUUAGAAAAAAAAAUUCUUGAAGAUUCAAGGAAUAAGAGGUUAAUAGUUGAAAGCUACACAAGAUUAGUCCUAAAGUCACAUGACAACUCCUAAAGCCACAUGAUUUAAGGUUAAUUGACCAAUAAGAUAUUGUCGUCUCAUAUAGAAGAGAAAAUUAUCAACUCUGAUUGAAGAAUAUUCUCAUGAUGAAUAUGUUUAUUACACUCGAAAUUUAUGGGAUAAGGAGAUCCUAUAAAUAAAACUCUUUGCUGCCUUAUUUCAUUUCCAUCAUCUUAGAAUACAAAUUCAUAAUUUGAAACUAGGGAAAAACAUAAGAAGAAAAUAAUAAUUAUUGAGUGCAUGAACAAAAACUAAAUGACAACAAGUGGAAUAUUCUAGCAUAGGGUAUAUUGUACAAUUCUCUUGCUAGAGAAAGAACUCAUUUAUCUCAUUAGGUUGUUUUAGAGCUUUACACAUUGGCCUUUACGACACCUAAUAUUAGCUCUCCGAAAUUGUGGACAAUCUUUAUCUGUUUUACAAUCACUAAACAUAAUCUGACUAAAAGGAGAUUUAUUGAAAAGAAAUAUAGAAAGAAAUAAAAGUAUAACAUAAACAAACUUCAGAGUUUCAACCAUAUUUUUUCCUAUUUGCAUCCAAAUAAUAGUAAAUGACUUGAUCUCUUUAUAGUGUAUAGUAAAGUUCAUGGUCUUAUAGAAAUAUAUCAUUGUGUUAUACUAAAUGUCUCUUAAAUAUAUCAUUGUGUUAUUUUUGUCCCUUUAGCACACUUAGGAAGGAGUUCAUGUAAUAAAAAUAAUAAUCAAUAUAACUGAAUACAAUUUUACAAACUUUAUAUUACUUUUUCCUGUAAAUAAUUGUAUUAUUUUUUUAACCUUUCGUGAGGGUAAAGGGGAAAACAAGUAUACCAUCGUAAAAUUAUGUACGAAUAUCAGGCACAAUUUAAUAUUUAUGAACAAGUAGAACAUAUAAUGAAGUUAACUACACCUCACAUAAUAAGACCAAGCAUAUAUUAAAAAAGCAACCUAUUGAAGGAACAUUGCCUCAACACAUCAACAAAAACAUGUUAUAAAAAGUUUUUCCUAUACUAUUAUGAAUGGCCAAAUGAAUUAUACAGAAGUUUUUUAGCAAUCACAAACAUAUUCCACCUUGUUGUAAGCAAAUUGAUAACCGGUAAAUAAAUUGGUUAUCAGAUUGCACUUAACUCUUAUAUUGGACAAGUAACUGAGUGAUUGCAUUGUCUUUAACAUCUAAUCUAUGCUUAGUUUAGGAUUUUAAAGUUUUAAGUGUUUUUAGUACUUUGAAACUAGUAAUGCUUGUUUGGUGAUGUAGGUGAAGGAAUGACUCUGAAGAAGAAUAAAGCUGCAGUGUGGAUUGAAGAUGUAUCGUUGAAGAUAUGAAAAGUUACAGCAUGUAACACCCUAAACCCCUAAAGCAAUAAAUUACGCAAAUAAUACAAAACAUACAAAGGAUUUAGAUGCUACUUCUUCUAUAAGUUCCUAAACAUGCAUAAUUAAUUUUUCAAAACAUCGCAGCAGAAUAUUUAAUAUCAUCACAUCUCAUCAACAUCUAAAUAAAACCUCCAAAGUUGAAAUGACGCAUAAUUAUAAUACAUCUCUAGAAUAAAUCUAACAUCUUGUUAUCGAGAUUUUCGGGUGUCAAGUCAUUAAUUAGGCUUGAACCUUUCAAUCUUUGAUAUUCUCUAUUUUUUCUUGGGAAGGGCAAAAUUGAGAAAAAAACCCUUAGAUUCGAAGUUCGGGGGUCGUUUUCACUACGGGAAGGUGUUAGGCACCCGCGGUGACUAUAGUACUCUAUAGGAGCCGUUUUCUUAGUUUAUGUCUACGCUUUAUUUUUAAUGCUACUUAUGAAAAAGGAAAUUUACUUAUGUUAAGAAUGGGAGGGAGAAAGUGUUUGAGGUUUUAUUUUAGUGGACUUGGAGAGGUUUUGACCUCAUGCCUACAUACCCAUUUAAGGGAUCAAACUCCAUGUAGUUCUCUCUCAAAAAAUGCUUUUUGUGUGUUUGGUUGAUUUUAAUUUUUGUUGAAAAAUGGUUUUGAAGAAAAGAAAGAGGCCUUAAAGGCAUAAGAGAAGAAAAUGGUGAAUGGUUAGUUCAAUUGUUAUUAAAAAAAGUCUAAGUAGAAAUUAGGAUUCAUUUGGAUUUGUUUAAGAAAAUAAAAGAAGAAAUUCAAUGGAGUUUUGACUCCAAGAUUUGUUUGGAAAAAUUUGAGUGAUGGAAUUGGUUUAUUAUUUUUUUGGAAAUUGACAUUUGUCUAAAAAUCGCGUUUCCUAAGCAUACAUCUAAACGGUAAUCAUGCAACGUGUGUGCGUGUCGGUGCUUGUGUCGGUGUACAUCACUUAUAGUGUCCAUAGUCCUUUACAUUGAGUCCUAAAUACAUGCUAUGGUCUUGCAAGGAAUUAAAAAGGAACUAAUCUAUCUAAAAUUAUUACAAACCCAAUUGAUGUAGAAAUGAAUAAAAAGAUGCUAGAACUAUGUGAUGAAUAAAAUGUGAGAUGAAAUGGUUAGUAUCAUAAGGCAUAAAAAUAAUAGAAAGGUAAGCAAAAUUGAAUAGAAUAGCAAGAGAGGAAAAAAGUAAUGAAAUGAAAUAAAGUGGCAAAAUAUACCUAAAAUUGGUUAUGACACUUAGUCAUGUGUAUGACCCAUAAUUCCCUCAUCAUAGCAAUGUUAAAGAGGUUUGAUUUUGAGCUAUAAUGUGAGGAUGAUAAGGACACAUACAAGCCAAGAAUUAUGACAUAUUUCUAGAAAUACUUUUCACUUUAUUUCUUAACAAAAACACACAUUAUUUGCAAAAAAAGAAAAAAGUGAAAAUUCACAUCACCCAAACAGUAAAUCACACAUAGGAUCAGAGACAUAUUCAUUAUGAAGUUGCAUAUUAAACACUCAUACCUUGCACCAAGGCCAUGAACACAAUGUGACGAAAAAAUUCACAAGAAAUUCCAUUAAAAGUAAAAAAACAUCAAGAACUAUCACAUACAUUUUUUUAUUAGUUUUUCAAUGUAUAAAAUCAUCACAAGAAAUACCAAAAAUAAAUUAAAAAACAAUAGGAAUUUUUAUAGAAUUUUUGAAAGAAAAAAUUGAGCAAGCAGGGGUUCAAAUAGCAACACAGCAAGGUGCAAGUAGCAAAAAAAUAAAAGAACGCAGAAACAAACAAACUGCAAGCCCAAGCCCAUAACCCACGGAUCUGGAUGCACAGGGAGCGUUGGAUUGAUCCAGAAAGGGAAACCCUAGAUCCAACGGCCAGGAAUGAAGGGGAUUGGACCGGUCUUGGACCGGUCCGGUUCACUGGCUUAUAUAAAGGUGUUGAGGCCGGUUUUUUUCAUUUUUACCAAUCCUUUCUCUCUCUUCUCUCGUCUUCUCUCUCUAAGCUCUCAACUUCCUCCGCCGGUUUCUGGAAGGAGACGGCCGGAGAAGAUGAAGAUGCGUCAGAAUCUUCAUCAACUCCGCCGUGAGAUCCAGAUUCCGGCGAGCUUCAACCUGACCAGAAAUCCACUAAACCUACUUCAUUCUACUCGUUCUCUUAUUCUAAGCAUGAAUCUGGCAUUGGUUUUCGCAUGCAAGGCUUGAAUCUUUGUAGAUCUACACUUCUUAUUUACGGUUUUGAAAAAACAUUUUAGGUUUUCAAUCUUUUUUGAAAGAAACUUUUGAAAACCCUAGGGAUCUACAUCGAUUCGUUCUUGUUGAUGCUUUUCGAGAAAGAAAAACGAGAUUUAGGUUUUACCUGAGUUUUUUGAUUCGGAGGUUCUUGAUGAAGAUUUUUCUGGAAAUUUAAUCUGGCUUUUGUUGUUGAUUUGGCUUGAGAACCGAAAAUAAAUCGGUUAUUUCACUGAUUUUCUUUCUUCAUCUUCUUCGCUGGUUCGAAUCUGCUUCUUUUCCUCUUCUUCUUUUUCUCACUGAUUCCUUCGUGAUCGGUGCUGGAGUUUGCCAAUGGCGAAUUCGCACUUUGAAUUGCGAAGGAAACCGAUUCGAUGAUGAAGAUUCAGUGAUGAAUCUCUGAGAAUCGCGAAAGAUCUUGUUGAUUCUCUGUUGAUUUGUACUGAUUUGUGGUGUUUUGUGUUGAUUAGUGUUGAUUCUGGUGGAAUUUGGAAACGGUUAGGGUUUGAGUGUUCUUGGUGUUCUUCGUGAUUUCUGGAAAUUGUUGAGUUUGGAUCUUUGAAAGCAGAAAGAGAAAGUUGGAAAGUGUUUGUGAUGUGGCGUGUGAUGAAUGGAUUCUGAUCCUGACUUGUACAGUAAAUGCGCCUUUUAUAGGCUGCCAAGUGUGCUUGAGACCCAAUGGGAGAGGGACACCUGUUUUUGGACUUAAGGACCUUGCUGCAAAAAAGGAAAAAUAAAAGGACUAAUCUGCAAUUAUGAAAAAGGACUUAAAAAUGCAAUUUUAAAAAGUAUUGGACUAAAAAUGCAAUUUUAAAAAGUAUUGGACUAAAAUGCAAUUUUAGAAACUGUUUCAGGGACUAAAAUGCAAUAAAAAUAAAAUUGGACUAAAAUUGGUAAAUUGGACAAAACGUAAAGUGAAACCAAAAAAUAAAAUCAACAAAAGGACUAAAACGAACCAAUUACUGACAUGAGGUAUUUUAAAAUACCUCCCUGCCGAAAUUUUGACAGGAAAAGACCAAAAUGCCCCUAGGGACUAAACUGACUCAGAUGCAAUUUUUGAAAUGACUUUUAAACAGAGACUCCACAAUGAUUUGUACAGACAAAUUGAAAAGACUCAGAGGCAAACACAGGGACUAAAAUGGGUUCCACUGCAGGAAAUGACCAAAAUACCCUUUUGUGUGAUUUUUUGAAAUAAAAUGCAAGAAAAGUAAUGCGACGUUUCAGAGAGUUCCUAAAUGACUUGUAAUGCAAGAAAAGACAGACAGAGGCAGUAAAAUAUGUUUUAAAAAGAGAGUAAAGAUUCAGAGUAAAAUAACAGCGAACUGACACACAUCAGUGUUAAAAAGAAAUUUGAACGAGUAUUUUUAGGUCCAAAAUCAGGGUAUAACACAUCUCAACAUACUAAGUGAAUAAAAUCUCGACAAGUCAUAUAAUAUAAAUAAAAGACAGACACCUUAAUUAGAGCUGACACACUAAGACUCUGAAAGCAAAAGACGAGGUAGCUUCAAAGCUAGCCUCCAGCAACUCACCAAGUAAAACAAAACUUCUCCUGCACACCAUCUAUCCAUAAAUACGCAAAGGUAGGUAGUCAAACAAACGACCACUGGAGGUUUGUUCACAUUUCACAAUUAAAGUAUAAUCAAAUUAAAAUGAACGAUAUAAUUAAAUUCAAAUGAUUAAACAAUACUUAAGAAGCUCAACAUCAUUAAUAAUCAUCAAUCAUACAAGUAUGAUUAUACACAAGUACAUUUUCAACAUCAUCACAUAUUCAUCAAAUUUUACCAAGCACGUAAUUCAUCAAAUUUUACCAAGCACGUAAUUCAUCAAGUUCACCGAUCCACAUAAAUCACCAAGGUUCACCAAGCACAUAAACAAAUACGACACAUUUAAUCAAUUAUCAAAUGUAUGUAAUGCGCAUAAACACGACUUUAUAUGCAUGUCCUACCGGUUGUCGUCAUUUGAAUACAAAGUAUUCUUUUCGUCUUCGUCGGAUAUAAUGUCCUAGUCAUCUUCAUUGGAUAUAAAUAUCCUACUUAUGAAUGCAUGAACAUACGAAUCAACAAUGCACACGCUCAACAAAAAAUCGUCAUCAUUUUCUUCAUUUUUCAUAAAUGCAUUCAUCAUCAAUAACGUUGUCAUUAUGCAUGCAAUGAUUCAUCAACAUAAAUCAUCAUCAUCAUCAUAAUCAUUAUCAACAACAAUCAACUAAAGAAUCAACAAAGUUCCAAACUAAUGAAUAAACAAUUCUAGUCGUCUUCAUUGGAUAUAAAUAUCUUACUUAUGAAUGCAUGAAUAUACGACUCAACAAUGCAUACGCUCAAGAAAAAAUCGUGAUCAUUUUCGUCUUGAUUUUUCAUACAUGCAUUCAUCAUCAAUAACGUUGUCAUUAUGCAUGUAAUGAUUCAUCAACAUAAAUCAUCAUCAUCAUCAAAAUCAUCAUCAACAACAAUCAACUAAAGAAUCAACAAAGUUACAAACUCACAUUUUGCACAAAAGACGGACAAUUAUCCACAUCAAGACAUUCAUCAAAUUAAACACGGACUCAUCCUUGAUUCAUUCUUAUUAUAAAAUAUCAUCAUGAAUAUAAAGUCAAUUGCAAGUUAUCCGGUCAUAAAACCUCAUUUCAACAAAGUUCGUCUAUUUUUAUAAAAUCGCCCAUUUUCAAUUUCACCAAGCAAAUUUGGGUUCCAAGUUCUUACAUACCAUUAAGACAUCUCUACAUAUCAUCUAACAUCUUAGUUAAUCAAUCAUAACAAGUUCACUUCACAAAUUUCAACUAGUUCUCCAAAAUUGCAAAGUUCAUCUCCUUUUUCUUCAUGUUUCAAACUCAAUUCAUUUCCAAGUAAAAUCAAGUUAAAACACUUCUAAAGAACAAAAAUUCAUGAUUACAUACUCAUUUAUUCACUAUAAAUACUUCCUUAAAUUCAAUAUUAAUUUUGAAGAUGUUUCAUGGUUUAGUGAAAAUGUUAUGAUAAAGUUUCAUGAGAAAGGGACACAUGACCUAUGUGAAGUAAUUUGACCAUAAAUCAAGGUAUAGAAAACAUUUUGAAGUGAGAUUAAACCCAUUAGAAAUAUAACAUACAUAUAUAAAACUUUCAUGUUUACAACUACGGCUGAAUCGAUUCAGAUCUUAUUGAAUUGAUUCAAAACAAAUUAGAGAGAAACCAUGAUACGAUUCAAAAUUGUCUGAAUCGAUACAAAGCUGCCCAAAUACAGAAUGAUGCAACUCAAACUUUCUUGAAUAAAAUUCAAUGGCCUGGAAAACACAAUUUUAGCUUUGGUUUCAUCCCCAAAUCAUCCCAAAAAUCGCUAUUUUGAUUUCCAACAUACCCAAAAUGAUAAAAAUCAUUUUCCAAGGUUCAAAUACACCAUUUAGACUCUUUUCACGACAAUACAAAACAACUUAUACUUCAAUUUACCUAAUUCAUCAAGGUUACAACAACAACAACUUACACACAACAACACAUAUAUCACACUCAAUACAUGAAUCAUCAUCACCAACAUAUACCCAUCAACAAUCAUAGCAUAUAAUUCAUGAACUCGUCAAUUUUCAACAACAACAUCUUCAUUUUCAUAAAUUUAAGUUAAAACUUCAAAGCUAUCAUUUCAACAUAGUUAUACAAUGAAAUUUAAGUACCCACAACGAGAUUUCAAAAAAUUUCACAUACUCAAAUUUAUCGCAUAAUCGUGAGCACGAAAUUCAACAUUCAAAAUCACAAAAAGUCAUAAUUCACCAUAAGCACCUGUUCUCAUAAUUGAAAAGAUGAAGGUUGAAACUUAACUAUGAAAAGGAUAUAUCCCCCUUACAUCUAGGUCUUGAAUUCACUAGCUUAGGCUUCAAUUUAGCUCCUAGCUCUUCAAACCUCAAGCUCUCCCUCUAGCUUCCUCUUCUUUCCUCUUGCGAUCUACUUUCUCUCUCUACCUCUUAUGUUUUUGUGGAAUAAAAUAAUGAAUGGCUUAACCUAAUUUUUUCAUAAGAGUUAUGCUUAUAUAGUCACCUCUUAAUUUGGCUAGGUUUCUAAUUGUCAUAAUGGGCUCAACAUCCUUACUAACUAAUUCGCAAAAGUUAAUACUCACUUAAACCGUUAAAACACCGAAUAAUUACUAUCUCUAAAUGAUUACCCCAACUUACUAGUAACUUAGUAAAAAUAUUUAUUCUCACUAAAACUCCAAAAGUAACCUUCUUAAUAAAAAUGACUAAUUUAUCCUUACUCGCCAAAUGACCAAAAUACCCCUUAGUUUAAAAUUGACUAAAAUACUCCGCUAGGCCAAAAAUCAACUAAUCCUACUUUAAAUAGACACAGAGACAAUUAAUCAUACAUAAACAUAUAUAAACAAACAUAAUAAAUCAUUUAAUUAAUUCUAGCUAAAAACAGGUUGUUACACAACAUCCUGGGACUCUAGUCGGGUUGUACAUAGUACACAUACGUGGGGCCAGUCUGUCCAUUUCUUAACAAGGAAGCAUAUGAGAUGUCCCUAAUAAUUGGAUUCCUAAGAAGAAUAAAAGAAUAUGCUAUUUGGUAGCUAGGAUUGGAUAAGGACGGAUGGAUAAGAACAGCCCAUGUAAAAUGACUAAAAGGUACAACUUGUAGUGGGUUGCCUUGUACUAUAAGAGGGUACCCGUGUGUUUGUAUCAAGGGUCUAAAAAUUCACCUUAGAAUUGGAAAGGUCAGGUUACGACUAGGGUUAGCAGCUUUAGAGAUCCCAUUCCAUCUCAUCUUCUACCAUAAAUGAGCAUGGUAUAUAGAUUCUAGAGUUCUUAUACUAGAUUACUUGGUGAUGCUUUUCCUCACCUUAUUCCUUCAAGGAUUGUAAUCUUGCGAUAACUCUACCUAUUCUAUUAAUUUAGUUUCUAUGUUUUCAUUUGCUUCCAUCUUCAUUUCCAUUUCUAUGGUUCAAGUCACCAUGAGCUAAACACCUUUAAAUGGUUUAGACAUGGUGAGGUUCUGAUUUAUUAAUUACUUGUGAUAUAUCAAACUGUAACAUUGUACUUUGCUCUGAUAAACUAUUUUUAUUGUAAAACCAAUAGAAGUGAUUCCUGAUAAGUUUUCCUUCUAAUGAUAUAGCUCGUUACCCUGAUGAAGUAAGGAGUGGAACCUGUUUAUUUGAUACGAGUUAGCCCUUACCAACAGAGUGAAAGAGGACAAGGGACCUGAUUGUAAAACUAACGUUAUAGGAGGCUAGAGCUUGGUGAAUCUUAGUUAGCUUAAGAGGUUAAUAAACAUCCAUAACACUGAAUGACCAUAGCCAUACAACACUCUAGCUGAGUAUUACAUUUUCUUAAGGCUAAAAUAUGCAUUUCAUCCCUGCAAAUAUAGGCCAUUUGAAAUUUCAUCCUUGAACUUACUAAUCCUCUUAUUAUUUCCCUGCAAUUGUUAAUCACUUGAAAUUUGGUCCUAAUCACAUUUUUUUUGCUGGGGUGGAGGGUAAUUGGCGACGUGUCAGCUGUUGACUGUGCCAGAACACUGAUGACUCAAACAAAAUGGCAUGAAUAGACAAAAUUGCCCUUAAUGAAUCAAACCAACAUGGAAAAGAUGUUAUUGCCCUUCUUCCUCCUCUUAAAUCAUCUUCUUCUCCCUCGGCUUAAAUCUUCUUUCCUCUGUUCCAGCCAUUCCAACUUUGUAUAUGUAUAUGUGUUAUUAUAUGAAGAAAGGUCAACCACGAAGUCAACAUUCAGAUUGGAAGAGAACUUCAAUCAGACUGUGAAGGAUCAAAGACUUUGAAGGAAGUCAUUAUAUGUAGAAUUUGUGUUUUAAUUUAAUUUUUUCAUGAACUAUUUUCAGACUACGCAUAUAUUACAUGAGCUAUUUCAAUAAUUAACCCUAUUUAUUUUAUUUUUUGACGAAAAAUAAGCGAUAUUCAUUUAUUAAAUUCGAUAGAAUUUUUAGGUACAAUACAAAUUUAAAGUUGUUAAAAACAAAAAUGAUGAAUCCUCAAACCAACUCACAAUAUCAUGUUAAUAGCAUAAAACAACAUAGUACAUAUGCCUACAAAUAUGAUUAUGUUCAAAUCUUUGUAAUAAUCAUUUACUAAAUCUGCAACGAGCUUGAAGUCAUUGAUCUGAUUUUCACUUUAUUACAACUUUAAUCAAAUAAACACGACACCAAGAUGAAAAAUAAAAACACAUCAUACAAAGACGAGAAAUCAAAGAUAUCAACAAUCAAAGUUGAUCUUGACAUAUGAAAAAUGGUUGAUUAAAACAUGUAUUUUGAAACAGAUGGAAUAUUUAAUAAAAGAUAUUUAAACAAUUUUAUUAAUUUAUUAAGGUUUGGAUACAUACAGGCACAUGUAACUUUAAAUAUUUACUAAUUUAUUAAUUUAUUAAAUGCAUAAUAUAUUUAAGAUGUGGGAUCAAACCCCAGCCACCACGAAAAAAAAAUAUUACUAACUAACAGAUAGUUUAUUUGGGUAUCCCUAUACCGAAUUUUAUAAUCGAACACCUCAAACAGAAACAACUAAAAUCUAAACCAUGUCAUAUUAUCAGGAUCUAGGAUUUAAUAUGGUGACUUUAGGAAUUGAGUUAUGGGUCUUGAUAACAUUUUCAUUUUCCUUUAGUUAUUCAUGAUAUAUGAAACGUGGCCACCUAGUAAUCUAAUAUCACUUACCUCACAAAUCAUAUUUUAUUUAUGGAAAAUGAUUAGAAAAAUUCCAUUCACUCUUAUAUUCUUUUCUGAAACAAGUCCCCGUUCACAUUGCUUCAUUAAAAUAUUUAUGGUCAACGAUUCAAAAUUGAGAGUUCCACUAUAGCUUAUCUCUUUUAUUGAGAUAAUAAAACAAAUCGAAAUAGAAAAAAGUCUAACACUUUAUGAAAAAAAUGGGAGAAACCAUUUCUGCUGCAGCCUCAUCCUCAGCAUCUAAAUUGAAGAAUCAAGAAGAUAGUUUUUACCUUCAUAUACAUCCUCAAGAGCUACACUUUCCACGUAAUUAAGCCUCUUUAAUUCCCAAAAACCAACAAAAUUAAAUAAGAAGUUUCUUAUUUCUAAUCCUAUUUUAUUAUGUGUCUUGUUUCUGGUUCUAAAUUCUAAUAGUAUAAUUUUUUUUUUUAACACUUUCUUGUUUUCUGCGAACCAGUUGAAUUGAAGAAAAAUAUCUCAUGCUGUUUGCAGUUGUCCAACAAGUCAGAUAAUUAUUUGGCUUUCAAGGUAAUGAUUUUCUUUUUCGUUUGUUAGAAAAUGAUAAGUUGUGCAUUUUUUAUAACUUGUGCCCUUAAGAAAUCAGUUAAAAAAAUUAAAUAUAGAAGUAUUUUUCGAAAAUUGUGUAUCUUAGAAAUUAAAAAAAAAAAAAAUUCCAUUAGUAAUCUUGUCCUUUAAUUCUUUUUUUAUGCUGCAUUAGAGGAUCCAUGUUUGCUUAAUAAAUUGAGUGUUAUUUAGGAAAAGUUAUGAUUAUGAGUUGGAUUGAAAUUGAUGGUGUUGCAACUUGCAGGUUAAGACUACAAUUCCUGAGAAAUAUUGUGUUAGGCCUAAUAUUGGAGUUCUGUUGCCUAUGUCUACUUGUGAUAUUAUAGGUUUUCUUCUCUCCAUCUCUCUCUACCUUCUUCACUCUCCCUUUUGCUAUCAAAAGUACAAUGACAUGCAAAGAAUAAUAAAUUCGGUCGAAUUAGACUUUACAAGACUCAAGUAUGUCCUAAUCUAAAAGUUCAAGGUCGACUACUAGAAAAUUCGUUUUUAGCGACGGAAAUUUGUGAGGGUUUAAUUCCGUCGCAAAUUUUGACGGAUUUUGUGAAGGGUACUCUUUUGAUGUCAUUAGCGACGGGUUUUACGAGGGUCUGUGUCAUUAGCAUGUCAUAGGUUUAUUUUUAGUCUCAAGUCUAGUAUUUUUGAAUGUCUUGUAGGACUAUCUAUCUUACUUAUAGACAUUUUUAAUAUGAAUAUAUAUUUAAAUAAGUAAUUUCAUUAUUAGAAACCCAAUUUUCCUGCGGAAUUACCAGCGGAUUUUAGAAUAUUCCGCAGAACACCUGUUUCCUGCAGAUUUAGACUGGGAUUUUGGUUCACUUCUAAUAUCUUCAUAGAUAAUUGUUUCUUUUGAUUUUAGGAUCAGAAGAAAAGAAGAAUCCCCAGGAAAAGUGAAAAUUAUAGGAUCAUAUUCAAUAUUAUCAAUAAAGAAAUUCAAAAUCUUACAAAUUUCCUGUAAAAAAAAAAAUUACAAAUUUCAUCAUAUUAAAAUAAACCGCAUGAAAAUUCGCAGGAAAAACUUGAGUUUCUAUUAUUGUUUUAGCUAUUUUUGUAGGCCUAUUUAUCCUACUUAGUAUAAAUAGUAGGGUUCAUUUUUGGGUCGUACCGCAGACAUCCCCUUUUCUAACAAAGUACCAUCCUUGUUUACAGUGUCAUGGAUAUGUUGGCAUAAUGUUUACAUGGGAUUUAGUUGCACAAUGUCAUGUGUUCUGUUCUUUUAUACUCACUUUUAUAACUAAGUAGCAUCAUUUUUUACUUAAUGACUCUUUAUAGUUACAAUGCAAGCCCUAGAGGAGGCACCUCCUGACAUGCAAUGCAAAGAUAAGUUUCUCCUUCAAAGCAUAGUUGCAAGGCCUGGAGCUACCACUAAAGAUAUCACUUCAGAUAUGGUAACAAACAACAAAUUGUUUCUUGAUAGUUUUUUCCACCAACAUUUCAUAUUUUAAUUGUUUUCUUUUUUCAUUGCAUGAAGUUUUAUAAAGAUUCCGGAUAUGAAGUUAAAGAGUCCAAAUUUAGAGCUGUUUGUGUUGCUCCUCCUUCUAACCCUCCAUCACCAGUUCAAGUAUCUGGAUCUUUAGAUCAGGUUUCUUUUUAUUUCAUUUUUUAAAAGCAGUUCACAUAUAAUUUCUAUGCAGCAUAAUAUACAAUUUAAAUUGGUAAUUCUCGUUGAUUUGUGUUGGUGAAUAAAAGUGACUCACAAAGUAUAAGAAGAGGAAAACAAUUUUUUAUUGAAUAUCAGUAUUUUUAUUAUUGUUUUUAUGUGUUAACCUUACGGUUCUCAGAGGAAAGGAACACUGUUCAUCAUGAGUUCGUUCGUAAGGUAAGUAUAGCCUAACUACGAAUCCUUUGGUGGAACUCAUUAAUCAUUUGCGCUCAAUUACUUGAUCAAUAGUUGUAGGCUUUUAAAUACAAACUCCUAAACUUUAACUGCUGCUUUAUUAGAUAAUAAGUAACUGGAAAAUUAAAACAAACUCCCGUAAAGACUUAGUCAACUAUAAAUGACACGUUCAACACUCCUUGUAAGGAGUUGAUGUUCGAUGCCUAUCUACUCGUAGAAUACAGUGAAUUGUUAUGAAGUCUACUUUGUGCCACUAUCAGACAUUAAAACUUGAAUCACACAGUCUUUUUGCUUUUCAAUCCAACGCUUAAAUCUCCAAAAUACUCCCGCAACCUCUAACCAUGAGUUAUCAAAUAAUUCCAACACAUUUUGGUGUAAUAUUUGCUCUCUUGAAGUGUACUGACAUACCUUGUAGAUUGGUGAUUCAUCAUCUAAGUCAGCUAGUCAUGAACCAAAUCAUUUCUUUGUAAAUUCAGUACAAUUGCACGAUGAAAAUGGCGUAAUCUUUUGGGCCAUAUCUCCGUAUUAUUAAUAGUAACUUGAUAAGUUGCUUUCCUUUCCUUCUUUGGACUAAACGAGAAACUAUUGCAACUAUACAAUUGCUGAUACACACGUUCAAAUGGCAAUCAUAAUUGCACAUUACAAACCUCAACCAGUACAAGCCUUCGAUAAUAUAUACUUUUGAUCUUAACCUAAGUAAUUAUCAUAAUGAUUUAUUUUUAGUUUUAGGAGGCCACAAUCAAAUUCCAAAUGUAUUUUAAAAUUGAAAUGCAUAAUUUUCCAAGUUUUCUUAAUUUAUAUAUUGAUUUAUAUUACUAUAUUGGCCUUUGAUAAUGAUCUUGUUGUAAUACAUUAAUUUUCUUUUCAAUUUAAGCAUGUUCUUUAGGAGUGUCCCCCAUAUAAGCUGAUUGCAGUUGAUAGAUGCAUGUCAUUAAUUUACAUUCUUAAUUGUGAUAUUGAAAAAUAACUUGUUCAUAAACCCCAUCUCCCUAUUGACCUUACGUUCAUGUAUCGAUUAUUAUUGAAAAGAUUUGAAUUCUGAAAUAUUGUUGCUCAUUUUUUAUUUCUUGUCAUUUUAGGCAAAGGAUCAAAUUUCGGAGUUAACCGAAGAGAGAGAUUAUCUUAAGAAGGAAAAUAAAAGGCUUCAGGAAGCACUGGUACGCCAUUCACAACAUGAUCAUAGCUUGGUAAUCUUGAAUAUUUUGUCGGGUGAUCUUGAUUGCUAUCCUAUGAUCUUGAAUAUUGGUCGUGUCUUAACUUAUUCAACUAUUUACGUAAACUUGAUAUUUUUUUUUGUUGUCAAGUAGCCUAGCCUAAUGGCUAGAAAUUCACAUCUAAGGUGAAAAAAUGGGGUCAUGAUAUUCGAAUCCCAACUUCUGAAUAAAUUAUGCAUUGUCCUUAUCAACUGAGCUAAACUCAGAGAGACCAAUUUAAUACCUUUAUCUUUAUUUUAAAAUUUUGGAAAGAUAAGAUUAUCUUAGUCAUCUGCGAGAAUACCAAAAAAGAUUUUUUCUGAUUCCAAGAAAGAAAAAAUUCACAUUGAAACCUAUUGGUUUCCAAAUUUUAAAAUGACUAUGCUUUCAGAUCACAAGAAUUUCCUUCAAUUUCCUUCUUGAAGUUACUGAGGAAGAAUUUCCUUCUUGGUCCGCUCUUACCAAUUGUUGAACCGCGAAUGCUUUUAUCGUUCCUCUUCUUAGCCAAUAACUGUCAUUUAUAUGGUGUGGCUUUAAAGUACACCCAAUCUCCAAUUUCUGUGUGAACAUGCUUCAUAUUCUUAUUUGCAUGCUUCUUCAUUCUUUGCUGAGUUAUUUCUAAACUCUUUUGUAACUGAUACAGAACAUUAUCCCUAUCUUCCACCAUACACGGCUUCUACUUAUGAAGGAAAUGUAGCACACUUUAUUACUGGAGGAGAGUCCCUUCCAUUUAGUUCUUGGAAAUCUUGUAUCCUAAUUAACACAUUAAAAUUAUUAGGCUUAAUUGCAGUCCCCCAUACUUCGAAACGUGGCCACUUUACCCCCUUUUGUAAUAGAUCAGUUUUGACUCGGUCAAUGCAUGUGUCAUCUAACUUAAUUGAGUCAGACGCUACAUGUGCAUAUUUAUUUUGCUCUUCUUCUCUUCUUCCCUUAAAUCAAAGUCUUCUCUUCAAACCUAUCCCUCACAAAUCCAACAUCCAUGAGAAGUUCUUUAUCAAAAUAAGAACUCGGGGUCGAGUUCUUUAGACGUAGAGGAGAUUGAUGCAUGAGGGAAUCCAUAGUAUUUUCUAUAGUAUUUUUAUUUUAGCCAAAUUUUAGUAAUUUUCUAUUUUUAUUUCAGUUUGUUAUUUUUGGCCCAUUAGAGUUUUGUUAUUUGUCUAUUUAAACUUAACAGGUGUAGCUUAAGAAACAAACUAUUAUUCAUUCAAUUAUAUUUUAGAUAGUUUUCUCAAUUUCUGGUGGAUUCUGAAACCCUAUUUUCGCAAGUUUGUCGUUUGCAAACUUGUUUCUCUUAAAUCUUAGAGUUAGCAAAAUUUAUUUUACGUAGGAUUUUAUAUCUUUUGUUACUUUAAAAGAAACAUAUUUUAUCUGCCAAGAGUAGAGAUGAGAGUGAUGCAAAUCGAGAUGGGAUCAUUGGAGUAAUUUAGAUUACUGUAAUGGCCUUUGAUAUGAUGUUCUUGUAAUAUAUUGACUUUCUUUUCAGUUUAAGCAUGUUUUUAGUUUCUGCCUGCUCCCAUACGGCCAGCAAUGGUCCUGUUACCGUGGUCUCUUAGUAGCUUGUAGGUGUGUCCUUAUUUUGGAGUGUUUUUUGGGUUUUAAGGUUUGUCCGCAUAUAUACGGAUCCUUUGCAUGUUUUCUUUGUCUCUUGGCAGCCGGGUGCAUGUUACGUAGGCUUGCUUUUAAUUUGGUUAAUUCAAAAACCAAAAAAACAUUUUUGGGAAUGUCCCCCCAUAUAGUCCGACUAAAGUGGAGCUUUCAUAUUUAAAAAUAUGAUGUUCAUAGACGCCAUGAUUGGUUUUGUCAUCUAAAAAAUCUAGCGGCGCAACUUGUUGUCUGCUUAUCUACUAUUAGUAUAUAAUAAUAAUUAAUCCUUGAUAUAUAAUUUUUUAAUAGGGCAUUGCUAUGGAUGAGAUGUGAAUUCUGAAAUAUUGUUGCUUAUUUUGAAUUUCUUUUUAUUUUAGGCAAAAGUACAAAGUUCAAAUUUAACUGAGAGAGACGAUGUUAUUGAGAAAAAUGAAAAUCUUGAGCAAGAACUGGUAUGAAAAAAUCUCUCUCUUUAAUUAACAAUUUUAGAACGAUAAGAUUAUCUUAGUCAUUUCCAUGAAUAACUAAAGAUUUCUAUGAGAAAUGAAAAAAUCAUAUUGAUACAUAUUUGGUUUCCUAAAUUUUAAAAUGAUUUUGCUUUGAGAUCACAAGAAUUUCCUUAUUCAACUUAUAAAGAGGAGGCAUUCGUAAGCAAUGAGUUAGGCUCAACUUCAACAUGAGAGACAAAAUUCCUUUCUCAGCAUAAUCGCUUGAACAAAGAGAAUUAUUGUUGAGAGAUGUUAACCGAUACCUCGCUAACUCUCUAGUUCAACAACAAUUACUAACUUAAAAAUAUAAAACGCUCCAUAUCAAAAUGAAUAAAUAUAAUGAGCUCAAUAUCCUAAACCCAAUAGACUAUUAUCUAACAGAAGCGAUGUGAUUUUAUCCUAAACAUCGUUAUCUUAGACUAUGCCUUUAUGAGUGAAUCAUUGAUUUAGUCCCUAAAAUCAAUAGCACCAAGCAAUUUCAUAUAUUAAGUUAUUGAAAUUCCAUAAUGAUCUCUAAAGUUGAAAAUUCUUUGAUCACAUUAGUUCUUUAAUGUUGGUCAAUUUACUCCUAAAAACUAUCCUAAAAGCACUAAUGUGAUUGUCGAUUUUCAAUUUUAUAUAUUAUUUUGAAAUUUUACUUAUGAUGAAAAUAACUACUACAAUUUUAGGGAUUAAAUUGUAUGGUUCACUCCACUCAUUUUCCUUGAAUAUAAGUAGCAUAGUUAAUAUGUAUUAUUGCAAAAUCGAGGGAAGCUUUUCUGAAUUGGUUACGUUAAUUCCUUUUCUUCAAGCAGGAGAUGGAGAUAUCUCUUAUAGGACUUCAGAAUGCUGGAAAGACUUCCCUUGUAAAUGCUGUUACUACCGGUGGAUACAGCGAGGAAAUGAUUCCUACAGUGGGAUUCAAUAUGAGGAAAGUAACAAAAGGAAAUGUUACAAUAAAGAUAUGGGAUUUAGGAGGGCAACGUAGGUUCCGUAGCAUGUGGGAACGUUACUGUCGUGCGGUUUCUGCUAUCGUUUCUCUUGUUGAUGCUGCUGAUCCAGAUAACCUUAGCAUAUCAAGAAGUGAACUUCAUGAUUUGCUGAGCAAGCCAUCAUUGAGUGGUAUCCCUUUAUCGGUGUUGGGAAACAAGAUUGACAAGCCAUGGGCUGUGUCUAAACAAGAUUUGACCGACCAAAUGGAUCUGAAAUCAAUUACUGAUAGAGAAAUUUGUUGCUUCAUGAUCUCGUGCAAAAACUCAACCAACAUCGACUCUGUUAUUGACUGGCUUGUGAAGCAUUCCAAAUCAAAGAACUGAGAAACUGCUUUGUGCUUUGAACUUUGAUGUAAUUUUGUGGCGACCCAAUUCUGGAUUUAGUAGUGGCAUUGGAAUGCUAACUCUCAGAUUGGUGUAUAAUUAUGUGGCGGUUCCAACUAUAUACGGCGCCUUUUGUUUGUAUUCUCAGUUUCAUCGGUCUUUGUUCGUCUUGAGCGGGGAUUUGGUUGUUUAAUAAAAUUUGCUGUUUUAAAAAAAAAAAGGUUAUCGACACUAUGAAAGUGACUUUCAUCAAUCCAUCCACUUCCACCGUAAACUUAAAGAUAGGUAACUAAAAAUACCUUAAUUGACCUAACUUCAAAAAUUGCCACAUAUACUUGUUUAGGAUAAAUAAUAAAUUGAAAUUUUUUAAUUUUGAUUUUUCAUAUCACUUUUGUUUUUCUUUUAUAAUAUUUUUACUGAUAAAACAUCAAAACUGAUAGGCUAUGCUACUCUAGCUACUAUUAAACUAAGAAUGCAAAAGAAGAAGAAAAUAUAAAACUUUAUAAGUUUAUUCAUGAAGCAGCCAAGAGGCAUUGUUAUAGCUUUUAUACUUAGGGUUGGUAGCAAGGGCUUAACCUGAUAAAACAUAAUAAAAGCAUAAGAAAUAAAAAUAAGUCCAAAAGUUUAUUGGGGUGGUCUAUGAAUGAUGUAAACAUAAUUGAUGAUAGGUUAUCUUACGUUAUUUUUAGCAUGUUUUUCAGUCAAAUUCAAUAGGUUUUAUCAGCAGAACUGAGGAGUAUUAGAACAAUUGUCUAUAAUUUUGGGUCAUUUGUAAUGUUUUAUAUAUUUGAGUCUGUAAUUCUAUUAUUCCCGAAACAUAGCAAUUCAAAGGUGUUUUUGAUAUGAAGAACAUCAAAAAGUCUUAUAGACAUUGGGAAGAUCAAGAAUGAAGAUUCAAGAGUCAUCAUAAGACUUUACAGAGGGAGAAAUUAUGUUCUUAGGUCACAAUACAUCUUAUAUGGAAGCAAACACCCAAAUGGAUGGAAAAACAGAGAAUUAAGGCUCAUAACACACUUACAUGCGCCUAGGGCAUGAAUCAUACGCCUAGGAAAUGCCUCAUGUACCUAGGGCAUAAGUUGUUCUGCACACUCAUGCGCCUAGGACAUGAGCUGUGCGCCCCGAGCACUGCUUAGUGCGGGCAAAAACAACUUUUUCCUACUUUUUAGCAGGAAAAAGUUCGGUUUUGGUCCCAACUUCAAGUGGAAACUCUCCCUAUAAUUACCUCAUUCCUCAUUCCAAAUUUCUCAUUCAGAACGAAGUGGUUCAAGAGGAAGGCAAACACUAGGAGCUUCCAGGGAGUAGUUUCUCUCUCCUCACUCCAAGUUUCUCUAUGGUAUGUUUUAUUUCUUUUGUAAUUUGUCUUUAGUUACCAUGAGUAACUAAAUAUUUAUAGGCUAGGGUUCUAAGAUGAAACUUUAUUAUAUUUGUUGGAUAAUUAUUUAAUUUAUAGUCAUUUAUUCAGUUAUCUUCUGUCUGUGAUUUAGUUUUACUGUAAUGCGUAAGAUUUUUCUCCUCUAGAACAUAACUCUCAUUUAGGCACUUAGGUAGUGACAUGGCCUAAUAUUGAUAUUUAUAACUUGUUAUUUAUAGAUGCCUAACAAGGAAGUAAUUAGUUAGUAACUAGCGAAAGAAACCGAAAGCGAUUGGACCCUGAUAAUAAUUACUUAGGAGGUGGCAUAACUACUAUUAAGUAAAAUCUGCUGAAAUUAGAAUGUAACUAGUUAGUAAUUAAGGAAACAAAUGACUUCACAACCUAAAUCAGCCUGAUAACUCCAUUCUCCUCGACCUGGGUCAGGUAAAUGCUGAUAGGGUUGCCCGUUUAUAGAACUACCAAGAGGGAAAAUGUGCUAUGUACUUCUAAGACUCAUAGAUGAGAAAAACUUUAGGAACACUAGCAACGAUAUCUUUGGAAAUUUAGGAACGCCAAUUUAAGUAUAUGUUUCAAUUAACACUGAGGGAGUAAGACCCCAUACGUAUGGAUCACCGUGUGGCCAACAAUUGCAACUCAACAGGCGGAGGGAUAGACCGAAAUCAACUGAGAGAGUAAGACCCGAAACAUAAGGAUCAUUGUGCGACCAUCAAGUGCAACUUGACAAACUGAUUAGGCUAUCACGUACCAACGAACUCAUCACUUAGAUAGUCUACUUAGAAUAACAGAACGCGACUUGACUAUUAAAUAAUUCCAACAAAUGAAUAUAGAGGAUCCUAACUGCUGCUAAUAUUUUUGCAAUCAAAACACGUAAACUUUCUCUGUUGCAAACAGAUAAAAAUUGCAAACUCUAAACUCUUAUCUUUUAUUUAUUACUUUGUUUUCAAAUCAGCUUCAAGAAAAAAUGCAUUUGGCGACUUUUAAAAUGACGAAUUGCGACUGUUAGAAAGGUCGCAAAUGUACAUUUGAGACUCUUCCCCAACAGGCGCUAAUGUUGGGGUCGCAUCUGUCUUUUGCGACAAUUCAAGGAACGGUCGUACCAACAGCCGCGACGGGUCAUAACAGUCGCAAAGUACAUUUUGUUUUGUUUGAAAAGGGGUGUUGCGACAGUUCAUAACAGCCGCAAUUCCUUAAAACUAUUUUUUUAAAAUACUCUUUGCGACACUUUCGAAUUGUCGAAAUUUGUGAAAUUUAUUUAAAAAAAGAAUAAUAAAUCAUAAAAUAUGAAUACUAAUUAAUAAAAAAUAUUAACUAAUCCAUAAACUAAAAUUUGAAUUUUACAUUCAUAUAAAAUUAUUUGUGGCGUCAAACACUCUGGACACAACGUUAACUUCCAGAUCAAUACAAAUUUUAUGAUUGACAGUCUAAUCUACAAUGAUGUUUAUAAACUAAAAAAAAACUUAAUUCUUAAUAAUUCUAAAGGUAAUAAGAUGGAGGCCAGUAAAUUUCCCUUCCGUUUGGAUCCAAAUAGUCCAUACAUGAAAGACAGAAACAUAAAAUUAUAGCAAAUAUAGUUUAAACUUUCAACAUUUCAAUACUUGUAUACAUGGUAUAUCCUAUAGAAUUCCUAAAGAAAGUUUAAAAUGAAAAGCCCACACAAUAAAAAACAAACAAGUGAUGACACCAUGAAGGGUAAACAUAACACUUUUAAAUCCAAAUAAUCUUGACAUAACAUAGCAUUUUGCAGACACACAAACAUAACAUAGCAACAGUGUCAAUUGACAUUGAUGAUAAUUCAAAUUGAGUAAAAGUUUCACCAUUAUGAAGAUUAAGACAUUUGUAUCAUAUACCUGGAAUAACUUUCAGAUGGAUACCCUAUUGAAAUAAAAAAAUUUAUUUCCUCACCACACCUCAAAAACAUCUACAUAAUAUCAAACAACAAGCACAAUAAGACAUUCACACUCUUUUGUGACAAAAUGGUCAGAUAAGAUGACGACGCAGCUGCACGCACUAUGUGGCUUAAAGUAACAAGUUCCAAUACAUUUAACUCAAAACAAUGGCCUAGGCAACAGUGUGAAUGGGCAGAUAAGAUGAUGACACAACUGCAUGCACUAUGUGGCUUAAAGUAACAAGUUCCAAUACAUUUAACUCAAAACAAUGGCCUAGGCAACAGGUUAGACAAAUUAAGAAAAGAGUUCAACCAAACUAACUAUCAGCAUACAUCAGUUGUUAUCCAUCAAAUUAAGAGUUUGAUCUACACACAGUUCCAGCAGAAAAUUACACACAGUUCCAACAUAAACUACACACAGUUCCAGCAUACACUAAACGAAUAAAAAAUGUCGACAAGUAAUCAAUUUUAAGAAAUUUGUGAAAACAAGUAGAGAGAGAUUUGUGCAACAGUAUGCUAUGUUUUAGAAAAUCAGUUGUGUAUGCAAAGAAUCAAUUUAACACAUUAGGUCUUGUAUCUCUCCCAUUCAUCCUUUCAUAAGUUUGGUCUAAAAAAUAAGCUAAAACAUGAACAGUUGUGGGUUCAAGUCGAACCGAACCAGUGUUAUGAUUGGGUGAACCCGUUCAUUAUUGUUUUCAAACUGAACUGAAACCAAUUUCACAAGUUGAAUUGCUGUCAAGAACUCGAAGUUCAAUUGCUGUCAAGAAUUAAUAAAGUUAAAUAAAUGUCAACAACUCAUAAAAAGUAUGCAAGAUUACAAUUGCUCAAGCACACAUACAAGAGACUUUCAAUACUCAAGCACACAAGCAAGAGACUUCAUAUGCUCAAGCACAAAAGCAAGAGACUUUUAUAAAACAAAGAUUACAAAGAAUAUUGUUUGGUUGAACACUUAAUAUAAAAUCAGAGGUGUUCAAAAAUACAAAACAGUUCAGACUCUAGAUUUAAGAAUUUCUAAUAUAGGGUCUUGUUCUAAUUUCUAAUUUUUUGUUUUUAACACUUUCUUGGUUUUUGUGAACACAGUUGAAUUGAAUAAACAGAUCUUAUCCUCUUUCCAGAUGUCUAACAAGUCUGAUAAUUAUCUGGCUUUCAAGGUAUUGAUGUUUCUAUGUUGUUUGUUUUUAUAUAGUGUUAUUUACGAAAGGUUAUAAUUUUGAUUUGGAUUGAAAUUGAUGGUGUUGCAACUUGCAGGUUAAGACUACAGUUCCUGAGAAAUAUUGUGUUAGGCCUAAUAUUGGAGUUCUGUUGCCUACGUCUAUUUCUGAUAUUAUAGGUGAAAUAAUUUGCUUGAUUAUGUGAAUAAUCAUUUGCUUACAAAAGUAGAAAGACAUGUAAAGAAGAAUAAUAAUGACAUUUUUAUUUCUUAUUUUAAAGGUAUAUUUUCCUCCAAUCUCAAUUAUAGGAGGAUGAACACAUUGUUAUCCUUAAGUUUUGAUCGAAUAUGUACUCAUCAUCUAAUUAUUCAAUACCUUAUUAUAUUUUUUAAUUUACUAAUAUAAACAUAAAAUUAUAUUUUGAAUAAAUCCUUAUUAUAUUUUUUAAUUUAUUAAUAUAACAUAAAAUAAUAUUUUGAAAUUUUUUUGCAUACGGUGUUGCUACCCAAAGAAGAUGUAGUCUACAAAUCCAAAGAAGUAUUGUUGCCUAGGUCUACUUGUGAUAUUCAAGGUCUUGUUCUCUAUCUUUUUUAGUCUCUCUCAUGCACACAAAAGCACGACGAAAUGCAACGAAGAAUAAUCAAGAUGUUAUAUUUGUUUACAAAUCAUAACAUUUAUAUAAUUGAUUAAAGUUAAUCAUUUUUAGCUAAAUAAACUUCUAAAAUAGUCUUAGCCUUAUCUUUAUAAAAACAAAACAUGGGUUGAACUAAGCCUGAUACCUUAAGCAUUCAAAAGUUGUUCAUGAGUUCUUGUUAGUUUAUGUGUGCAGAAAGUGGUUGUUGUACUACUAGAAAUAUUAGUUAUAUUGUUUUAUUAGGUACUUACAUGUGGUGGCAAAUUACCUUUUUUUAUUUUUUAUUUUUUGGCUUAAUUAAUGAUUUGGUCCCUUAAGUUAUUUAUUGGUUACAUUUUGGUCCCAUAAGUUAUUAAAGUUACAAUUUGGUCCCUUAAGUUAGUAUUUGUUAGCCAAAUAAAUCCUCACCGUCAGUCUUUUGCGAAAACGCUAAAUAAGGACAUGUGAACGGUGGCGUGACAACUUGCAAUAUAUAUCCACCUUAGACGUUGGCUUAACGGUUUUGAUGGUGGGGAUUUAUUCGGUUGCUGGAAGAUAACCUAAAGGAAUUAAAUUGUAACGUUAAUAACUUAGAGCACCCACAUCCAUGCCACUCUACAUGGGUGGUAUAAAUGGGUCCCAGUAAUACUUUAUAUUACUUCACACUUUUCAAUUAUUUAAACCACUCAACUACAUUUUCUAAACAUCCAUACCAUUCUUACAAAACUUAUAAUGGGUCCCACUAAUCUUACAAAAUGUGUGUGAGGAAGAGAAAGAAUUGCUUUAAGACACAAUGGUAGAAUUUGGAACCGUAGCCAAGAAAAGAUACCAACUGUUAUGCAAUUAUCCAUGCCUUUCCUGACACUAGUAGCCACACGUGGACCUUAUGUGCCAAAAGACACUGCCGAUAUUUGUGCUCUUAUGGGACUAAAAUNNNNNNNNNNNNNNNNNNNNNNNNNNNNNNNNNNNNNNNNNNNNNNNNNNNNNNNNNNNNNNNNNNNNNNNNNNNNNNNNNNNNNNNNNNNNNNNNNNNNUUGAUCGUAACCCAUAUAUAUAAUAUAAAAUAUUUCUAUAACAAAUAACAAAUAACAAAUAUAUCUCUAUAACAAAUAUAUUUCUAUAACAUAUAUAUUUCUAAACCAAAUAGCAUAUAUAUUAUACUAAUAAAUACCAACAUAUAACAUAACAAAAUAUCACUCAUCAAAAUAAAUCAUAUAAAUCACACAAAUCAUAUAAGUAUAUUCUAAACUCAUUAAAAUAAUCAAAUAAUUAAAGAGGUGUUACAAUUUUCGUGUUCAUUUUUCAUACAUGCAUUCAUCAUCAAUAACGUUGUCAUCAUGCAUGCAAUGCUUCAUCAACAUAAAUCGUCAUCAUCAUCAUAAUCAUUAUCAACAACAAUCAACUAAAGAAUCAACAAAGUUCCAGACUAAAGAAUCAACAAUUCUAGUCGUCUUCAUUGGAUAUAAAUAUCCUACUUAUGAAUGCAUGAACAUACGACUCCACAAUGCAUACGCUCAACAAAAAAUCGUCAUCAUUUUCGUCUUCAUUUUUCAUACAUGCAUUCAUCAUCAAUAACGUUGUCAUUAUGCAUGUAAUGAUUCAUCAACAUAAAUCAUCAUCGUCAUCAUAACCAUUAUCAAUAACAAUCAACUAAAGAAUCAACUAAGUUUCAAACUCACAUUUUGCACAAAAGACAGACAGUUAUCCACAUCAUGACAUUCAUCAAAUUAAACACCGACUCAUCCUUGAUUCAUUCUUAUUAUAAAAUAUCAUCAUGAAUAUAAAGUCAAUUGCAAGUUAUUCGGUCAUAAAACCUCAUUUCAACAAAGUUCGUCUAUUUUCAUAAAAUCGACCAUUUUCAAUUUUACCAACCAAAUUAGGGUUCCAAGUUCUUACAUACCAUUAAGACAUCUCUACAUAUCAUCUAACAUCUUAGUUAAUCAAUCAUAACAAGUUCAGUUCACAAAGUUCAACUAGUUCUCCAAAAUUGCAAAGUUCAUCUCCUUUUUCUUCAUGUUUCAAACUCAAUUCAUUUCUAGGUAAAAUCAAGUUAAAACACUUCUAAAGAACAAAUAUUCAUGAUUAAUCAUUUAUUCACUAUAAAUACUUCCUCAAAUUCAAUAUUAAUUUUGAAGAUGUUUCAUGGUUUAGUGAAAAUGUUAUGAUAUAGUUUCAUGAAAAAGUGACACAUGACCUAUGCGAAGUAAUUUGACCAUAAAUCAAGUUAUAGAAAACAUUUUGAAGUUAGACUAAACCCAUUAUAAAUAUAACAUACAUAUAUAAAACUUUCAUGUUUACAACUACGGCUGAAUCGAUUCAGAUCUUAUUGAAUCGAUUCAAAACAAGUUAGAGAGAAACCAUGAUACGAUUCAAAAUUUCUGAAUCGAUUCAAAGCUGCCCAGAUACAGAAUGAUGCAAUUCAAACUUUCUUGAAUAAAUUCAAUGGCCUGGAAAACACAAUUUUAGCUUCGGUUUCAUCCCCAAAUCAUCCCAAAAAUCCCUAUUUUGAUUUCCAACAUACCUAAAACGAUAAAAAUCAUUUUCCAAAGUUCAUUCAGACGUUUUUCACCACAAUACAAAACAACUUAUACUUCAAUUUACCUAAUUCAUCAAGGUUACAACAACAACAACUUACACACAACAACACAUAUAUCACAAUCAAUUCAUGAAUCAUCAUCACCAACAUAUACCCAUCAACAAUCAUAGCAUAUAAUUCAUGAACUCGUCAGUUUUCAACAACAUCUUCAUUUUCAUAAAUUUAAGUUAAAACUUCAAAGCUAUCAUUUCAACAUACAUGAAGUUUAAGUAGCCACAACAAGAAUUCAAAAAAUUUCAUAUACUCAAAUUUAUUGCAUAGUCGUGAGCACGAAAUUCAACAUUCAAAAUCACAAAAAGUCAUAAUUCACCAUAAGUACCUAUUCUCAUAAUUGAAAAGAUGAAGGUUGUAACUUAAUUAUGAAAAGGAUAUACCCCCCUUACCUCUAGGUCUUGAAUUCACUAACUUAGGCUUUAAUUUAGUUCCUAGCUCUUCAAACCUCAAGCUCUCCCUCUAGCUUCCUCUUCUUUCCUCUUGCGAUCUACUUUCUUUCUCUACCUCUUAUGUUUUUGUGAAAUAAAAUAAUGAAUGGCUUAACCUAAUUUUCUCAUAAGAGUUAUGCUUAUAUAGUCACCUCUUAAUUUGGCUAGGUUUCUAAUUGUAACGCCCACUUUCGUUAACUGUUUAUUUAAUUGAGUUUAGGCGAUUAUAUUAUAUUUAUAUAAUAUAUGCAUGAUUAUGGUAUGAUUUGAAUGAUUUACGUUUAUGUUGAUGGUUUAGUUGAUAUUGUGAUGAGUUAUGAGUUUUGGAAGAUUUGAUAAGAUUAAGGGAUUUAUUUUAUUGUUAAAUAAAAUAAAGAUUUGAAAAUAAUAUAAAAUAUUUAGUUGAGGGCUGUUUUGAUAUUUUAGAUAGUUUUGGGGGAGAAAGUGAGAUAAGAUAAGUAAUUAAGAGGAGAUAUAUAAAGGUUAGACCUAGUUUUAGAAAAACAUUGUUGUACGUACGUUUUUGGAGAAAAGGGAGAAAAAGCCAAGAGAAGAGAGAAUCACUAGGAGUGCUGCGAUUUUCUUCAUACAAGGUAAGGGUGAGACUAAUAAUUCAAUAAUGUUAGUUGUUGUAAUUCUGAUGAUUAAUUGACCAAGUUAGGAUUGAUUUAGAAAAGUUUUGGAAAUAGGUCAAAACCCUAAAAUUGAUGAUAAAACGGUGAGAAUUGUUUAGAUUGAUGUAAAAACUAUCCUAUAACCUUAGAAUAUGUUUAGGACGAAUUCUGGAUGUGAAAUUAGGCUUAGAACCUUCUUAGAUGAUGAUUUUGUGUAGAAACCAGAUUCUGCCCGUAACGACAUUCAUCGCUCGCCUCUCGAGCAAUGAUCCUCGCCAUGGCGAGUGAUGAACUUCAUCGCUCGCCACGCGAGCCAAAGCCCUUCGCCUCGCGAGUUACUUAGUGUAGCUCGCCACGGCAAACAACCCCUCCUCGCCUCGCGAGCUAAGGCAGAGAGCAUGUUAGAUUUUGUGUUUUCGACUUUUUAGUUGGACCUUGAGUGCCUUUGAGUGCCUGAACAUACCUAGUAAUGAAUAGGGAUGAAUGUAGGACAAGCCUGAACCCAGAACAACUUUAGUUUGGGAUUUGAGUGGUACUCGCCAUGGCGAGUGAGAACUCUCGCCUCGCGAGUAUGACCAGAAUGUAGGUUGUUUGAGUGUAGUGCGAUCUGUGUCGCACGUAUUGAUCAAGAGUGAACCUCUAAUUGGUAAUGAAACCUAGUGAUGAUGUCUACUGCAAUCUGUGAAGCCUUUUAAGACAAGUGGUCAUUAAUUGAGCGUGAUUAAUGUGUUGUACAAUUAUGUAAGAUAUGAAAGUUUAACUAUGAUGCAUUGAUUUGCUAUUGAUAUAAUGAAAUCAUCCUGUUAUGUGACUUGACUAUGCUGCUGCUGUUGUUUAACUAAGUGCAUUGUAUAUAUAUAUAUAUAUAUAUAUAUAUAUAUAUAUAUAUAUAUAUAUAUAUAUAUAUAUAUAUAUAUGAUGAAAUGAUGACGUUUAGCUCCAAAUUAUUGGAUGCAUGUUGAUAUGUUGAAUACGGUGAUUUGUUCAUAAGAGUCCAUGCAUAGCAUUUCAUUGAGCUUAGUCCUCACCACGAUUAUUAGGAGCUUUGUCCUCCGCACGAUUUAUAGGAGCUUUGUCCUCCGCACGAUUAAAGUAUAUUAAUACUUAUGAUGACAAUUGGUACCACAUGCAUAUAAGGAGUCUAAGAGCAUUGUCACAUUGUCAUGUCCAUAAUGCUAUGUUGUUGAUAAUGAAUAUGUGAUUACGUGAUAAGUGUUUAUCAAAUAAGUUAUGUUGUUCAUGAUAAUUGAAUAUAUGAUUACGUGAUAUCUGUUUAGCAAUUAUGCAAAGUUGUUAAAGAAAUGAUUAUGAUGUCAACUUAUGAUUCGCAAUUACAUUGAUUAAUGUUAUUUUGUUAUGAAAUCUCACCCCUUCUGCUUGAAAAUGUUGCCCUUCGUAUGGGUAACUUGCAGGUGAUCGUGCUUAGUGUGCAGUUGCCGUCGUGAGUGGCCUUGCCUUCACUGUGUCGUCUAGGUCGCUCUGAUACGUAACGGGAUGGGGUUUAAUGUUAUACAUGCUUCAUUCUCUUACGUGACUAAUAUGUUAUUUUUAUAAUGUUAUGGAUUACGACAUGAACUGUUUUGAUGGGGCCUACGUGCCAAACUGAUUUAUGGAUUAUGAAUCAAAUUCCGCUGCAAUGUUCACGACUUUUGGUUAAAUUACUAUUUAAUUGUUUUGGAUCAUGUUAUAUGUGAUAUCCCGUUGUUUAUGAUGCUUACUCUGAUAUAUGUUUAAGAAAUUUGUAUAUUGGGAAAACGGGGUGUUACACUAAUUGUCAUAAUGGGCUCAACAUCCUUACUAACUAAUUCGCAAAAGUUAAUACUCACUUAAACUGUUAAAACACCGAAUAAUUAACAUCUCUAAAUAAUUACCCCAACUCACUAGUAACUUAGUAAAAAUAAUUAUUCUCACUAAAACUCCAAAAGUAACCUUCUUAAUAAAAAUGACUAAUUUACCCUUACUCGCCAAAUGACCAAAAUACCCCUUAGUUUAAAAAUGACUAAAAUACUCCGCUAGGCCAAAAAUCCACUAAUCCUACUUUAAAUACACACAGAGACAAUUAAUCAAACAUAAACAUAUAGAAACAAACAUAAUAAACAAUUAAAUUAAUUCUAGCUAAAAACAGGUUGUUACACAACAUCCUGGGACUCUAGUCAGGUUGUACAUAGUACACAUACGUGGGGCUAGUCUGUCCAUUUCUUAACAAGGAAGCAUAUGAGAUGUCCCCAAUGAUUGGAUUCCUAAGAAGAAUAAAAGAAUAUGCUAUUUGGUAGGUAGGAUUGGAUAAGGACGGAUGGAUAAGAACAGCCCAUGUAAAAUGACCAAAGGGUACAACUUGUAGUGGGUUGCCUUGUACUAUAAAAGGGCACCCGUGUGUUAGUGUCAAGGGUCUAAAAAUUCACCUUAGAAUUGGAAAGGUCAGGUUACGACUAGGGUUAGCAGCUUUAGAGAUCUCAUUCCAUCUCAUCUUCUAACAUAAAUGAGCAUGGUAUAUAGAUCCCAGAGUUCUUAUACUAGAUUACUUGGUGAUGCUUUGCCUCACCUUAUUCCUUCAAGGAUUGUAAUCUUGCGACAACUCGAUCUAUUCUAUUAAUUUAGUUUUCUAUGUUUUCAUUUGUUUCCAUCUUCAUUUCCAUUUCUAUGGUUCAGGUCACCACGAGCUAAACCCCUUUAAAUGGUUUAGACAUGGCGAGGUUAUGAUUUAUUAAUUACUUAUCAUAUAUCAAACUGUAGCAUUGUGCUUUGCUCUGAUAAACUGUUUUUAUUGUAAAACCAAUAGAAGUGAUUCCUGAUAAGUUUUCCUUCUAAUGAUAUAGCUCGUUACCCUGAUGAAGUAAGGAGCAGAACCUGUUUACUUGAUACGAGUUAGCCCUUACCAACAGAGUGAAAGAGGACAAGACACCUGAAUGUAAAACUAACGUUAUAGGAGGCUAUAGCUUGGUGAAUCUCAUUUAGCUUAAGAGGUUAAUAAACAGCCGUAACACUGAAUGACCAUAGCCAUACCACAUUAUAACUUAGUAUUACAUUUUUUUAAUGUAUUUUUGACGUAUAUCAAUGAGGAUCUGAAUUAAGCCGCACAUAAGAGCGAAAAAGGGCAAGACUCCUCCAUUAAAUAAGCCAUAAAGCCGGAGUUUAAAUAUAUAGCUAAAUGAAGCUAUAUCUAUUUGAAGCUAUAGCUCCAUAGUCUAUAUGGGAUCGAUAUCUUUUUAUACUUGAAUUUGGAUAGUGUAUACUUGCACUUAGUCUUUCAAUCUUAAAAUACUUCUAAUGUUUUAGGUGACAGCACAAAUGCCUUUUGGGAUGGCCUGCAGAAAAAAGACGUCGAAUUUAAAUCUUACAAAUGGAAUGUGAACUUAUUUCACCACCGAGUGAAAAACAUAAAAAGCUUAGGAAUAAAUAAGUUAAUUCAAUAACCUGCACAUUUUAGUAUUGUAAAAUUGUGCUUAGGAGUAAGUUAAGCGUUAGUAUACGCAAGGGACACUAUAAUUAAAGAAUAAAGCCAUAUUUCGUAUUUCAACUCAACUCUUGCAUGUUUGGAGUCACACCCUGUCAGACACAAUCACAUCGUGAUUUUAUAGAAGUUCUAAAGUGUAGUUUUUACUCUACAAAAUAAAGAGAAAUUCCAAAAAUGCCCAAAAGCAUUUAACUCCAGCUCAAUAAAUGGGAGGUGAAGAGGGUAUUUUCCAUGAACAAUGGGUCAGCAUGACACACAACCACACUUACUAGUAAUUAGAUAAUCAUCAUCAAACAAGUUUAUUUGCAAACAAAAUGCAGCAUACCAGCAAAUACCUUUGACACAGUAAACACUCCAUUGAAAUCAUCAUCAAAAAAUUAAACAAAAUGAAUCAAAGUGAGAAAAUCGCGAAAGAAUUUAGAGUGAAAUGAUGGAGAACAAUAAUGGUAAAACAAUUGAGAUCAUAGGGUUAAGAGGGAUACAUGUUACAGAAGGGAAUUGUGCUUCAAUUUCAAUUAUGCAAACUCAAAUUCACAUGCAUGCUACAUAUCCUCUCAUCCCCUACAUAUUAUUUCUUUAUGCAAACUCAAAUUGCUUUUGUUUUUUUCAAAAUCAUGAUUCUGGUGAAGAUGGUUUUUAAAACACGAUAAAACACACAUGCCUUUGCCUUUAAUUUUACCUUCCACAACUUUCUAGAGAUCCAAAGCACUUCAAUGAAAUAUUGAAUUAUUCAUAAAGUUAUUCAUUAAUGAAUUGAUUGGAGAAUUAUCAAAGAUGAAACUUCAAUAUUAUAUGCAUGGAGAUUCUAUAGUAAAAUACUUAGGACGAUUCAAGAGUUUCCCAUCACUAUUCAAGAUAAGAAUAGAAAUCAAGCAAAGCAAUUUCGACAUUGAGAAAGGUUUUUCAUGUCUCUAAUAGAACAUUCUCGUCACAGAAUAAUCCUUGUGAAGACGAUAAUCUUAAUACUAAAUUACUUAAGCAAUUGGUGCACUUGCCAGAUUUAUCAUCAUCUUUCAAAAUUUUGUUUAAACAUAGUAUUGUUUUCGAUUUUAGACAAGAUGGUUUUGACUUAAAACUAGUAAACACACUUAAAAACUAACCUUUUUUUAUAGAUUUUUUCUACCUACAUUAUACCUAAAAGUGAACAAAGUCUUCCAUUUCAAUUUUGGCGAUGUUGAAUUUAUGAUAUUUUCAAUGUACUUCACCAAUUUCAACAUAACUAUUAAACUUAUUAUUAUAGGUGUGAUGUGUCUAGAUUGCAAACCAUGGUGAUAUCUCAAAAUUUACGAGACAAGGAGAUCCUAUAAAUAAAACUCUUUGCUUCCUGAUUUCAUUUCCAUCAACCUAGAAUACAAAGUCAUAACUUCAAGGUUCUUAAAACUAGGGAAUAACAUAAGAAGAAAAUAAUAAUUAUUGAGUGCAUCAACAAAAAUUAAAUGACAACAAGUGGAAUAUUCUAGCAUAAGGUAUAUUGUAGAAUUCUCUUGAUAGAGAAAGAGAACUCAUUUAUCUCAUUAUGAUGUUUUAGAUCGCUACACAUUUGCCUUUACGACACCUAACAUUAACUUUAUGAAGUUUUGGACAAUCUUUAUCUGUUUUACAAGCACUGUCAAUAAUCUCACUAAAAGAAGAAUUAGAUACUGCUAUGCAAAGAAAUAUAGAAAAAAAUAAAAUUAUAACAUAAACUAACUUCAGAGUUUCAACCAUAUUUUUUCCUAUUUGCAUCCAAAUAAUAGUAAAUGACUUGAUCUCUUUAUAAUGUAUAGUAAAGUUCAUGGUCUUAGAGAAAUAAUUAAAUAGUUUAAGCAUUAUAAAAUUUU